AUUGUUGUCAACGUUUGUGAGUUAUUUAUAUAUGUAUCAAAUUUCUGAAUUUGAAAGUAUUAUGAAUGAUAUCAAGUUUAUAUUAUUUGUAAAAAAAAAAAAUCAAGUUUAUAUUAGUGUAUUCUGACUAAAAAAAUUACAUUUGUGUAUUUUAAUUAAUCACUUUAUUGAAUUUGAUUACUAUACACUACUCCCUCCGUCCCAAAAUAUAAGUAAAAGUGGGUCAACAAAAGUGAAUGUAUCUGGACUAAAUUUUAAACCAAAUUCAUCAACUUUUGUUGACCUAUUUUUGCUUAUAUUUUGGGACGGAAGGAGUACUUAACAUUAUAAAAAUUCUAUCUUUUAUUGGGGAAGAAAGGUUCUCCUUUGAACUCACAUCCACUCAUUCUUAAAUGCAAUCAAAAUUUGGACACCUUAUUAAGAUUUUCCAAUGAAUUGAAGUCCUCAUCAUUACGUACUUUGCCAUAAGAUUGAAGGCCAUCUCCAAAGACUCGACAAAUUAGAAGGGCACUACAAAAAUUGGGGUUUGUAUAUAACACAGAUUUAGACAGUUCAUUAUGUUUUUUCAAGGGUAAGUCAAAAAAACAAAAACAAUAAGAUACACUAAUGCAUUAUAGAAUGAGGUACAUAUUCAAGAUUGUCUCUUCCUUAUAAACAUUCAUUAUGUUAAGAUGUCUCACAUUGGUUGCGAGAUGACCUGAAUAAGUGUUUAUAUACUAGAGUCAAUCAAGCCGGUUUUGUAAGAUGAGUUAGGCCCAAUUUCUAAGAUGGUAUCAGAGCAUCUCCACGACCCGUUGGACCACCUAUUAUCAGGUUUCCGCCAUCGGACCACUCACCGUUUAUAUCCACUCAUCAAGCCCAAUAGUGCUGGGCGUGAGGGGGUGUGUUAAGAGUCCUACAUCGGUUGCGAGAUGGUCUGAAUUGAUGUUUAUAAACAAGAGGCAAUCCUCACCUUACAAGCCGGUUUUGUAAGGAUGAAUUAAACUCAAUUUCUAAGAACGAGUAAUAACAAUAAUAACUUUAGUGAAUAUUCUAAUACAUAAAUCCUAUGAAGAAAUUCAGGGAGAAAUGUCUUAAAUGGAGGAGCAAAAAUUGAGUGUUGGAGGAAUUUUGCUCUCCCCUUCUUCCUUCCCUUCCAUCUUAAAAAUUGAAUCAAAUAAAUAAGAUUUAAAAUAUUAGAUUUUCUCUCCCCCAAAAAUCCCUAACCAAACACACUCUAAAGGAUCAUGAUGAUCAUCAAACCACCCUAACCAAAAGUGGUAAUCCUAAAAUUGAAAGCCUUCCAUGAUGGGAUUUAAGUUUGAUUUGUCUUUGUUUGCAUAUUUAACCCUUUAUUUAUAGCUUUAGCGACGUUUGAAUUUGUGUUGUUUUCAAUGUUUUUACAAAUUUAAGUGAAUGAAUAUAUUUUUUUAGUAAAAACAAAUCACUUACACAUGAAAAAAUUAUAUCGGUUUUGUGUUGAGUAUCCGAUAAUUUCCAAAAAAAUUAUAACAUUUGUGUCCUUCAAAAAUACACUUCCAAAAUAUCUUGUAUUUUCAUUUUUAAAAAUAUAUUACUAUUCCAUUUCCAACAAUAACCUUAAAAUAGUUUAUGUUGUAUUGAAUUCAACAUGAUCUCAAAAUAACCCCCAACAAACAAAUAAAUCAACUUGCAAAAUAAAUUCAAAACAUAAUUGUCAAAAAUAAUUACUCUAACCACCUUUCCUUUUGUUACGCACCAAAAGAUCCCCAACCUUUCUACUAAAAAAUUUCUACUAAAAAUUAUAAGGUCUGUUCAAAGGGUAACGUUGAGUUAAAAAAAUCAAAGGGUAACGCCAACUAUUUUUUAUGUUGUUUCUACAUUACUCUUAAACAAUACAGUAGAUGAAAAAAAAAUUGGUAGAAUAGUAAUCACCCUAUAUUUUUCAUUCUCACGCAAAACCAUCAUAAUUAAUUCAUUUUCUCAUUUAAGAAAAUCAAUAGUGCUUCAGUAAAAAAAAUAUAAAAAAAUAGUGCUAUAAAUUGGAGUGCUAUGAAGCCAAUUUCCUUUCAUGCAAGACAAUAUUAUGAAUAAGAAGAAAAUAAAAAUACUCAUUCAUAUAUAGUAACUAUGGCAAAAAUCACUGCUUCACUUGUUCUAGUUGUCCUUGUUAUGGCUUUCGUUCUGAAUUGUUGUAGUGUUGACGGUGCAGGAAGAGGUAAUGAACUAGAGAAAAAUGGAGUUGGUAUUCACAACUCUCAAAAGCUUUGGUGGCUGCUUGAUUGUUUGUUUUUGUAUAAGAAGUGUGCAAUUGAUGAUUUUAAAAAUUGUCCUAACUACUAUAAUAGGUGUCUCGCCAGCAAACACCAACACCGGUGAUUAGGGUUUGUGAUGUUCGUUGGCUUAGUUCGGUAUGUCGUUGUUUCGGUGGGGUGGACGGUGUGUUGCUUUCCCUUCGAUUUGCUUGGUUUAGUUUUCAUGUUGGGGUUGCUAAAUAAGGUGGGGUUAUGGCCGCAUGUAUGUUUUUCUCUUUGAUGUUUUUAUUAGCUUUUCCUUUUUUUGUUGCUAUGUUUCCGUCUUAUUUUCUUUGUUCUUGUUUGUGAGGGUUUAAGCACGCCUUUGUACUAAAAAANNNNNNNNNNNNNNNNNNNNNNNNNNNNNNNNNNNNNNNNNNNNGUUUUCAAUGUUUGUGUGUUAUUUAUAUAUGUGUCAAAUUUAUGAGUUUGAAAGUAUUAUGAAUGAUAUUAAGUUUAUAUUAUUUGUAAAAAAAAAAAACGCCAAGUUUAUAUUAACGUAUUCUUACUAAAAAUAAUUACAUAUAGUGUAUUCUAAUUAAUUACUUUAUUGAAUUUGAUUCCUAUACACUAAUUAACGUAUGACCAAUAAUAACUAAAUAUCACCAUCGGCUUCCAAUACAAUAAAAAAUCAACAUUGACAUAAGCAAAAGCAACCACUCCAAAGCCUUGUCAAAUUUGAAGGGAAUACCAAAAAUUGCAUCGUAUAAAUGUAAAUUAUAAAUUUAAAUUUAUUUAGGGGAUAUAAUGAAUUAAAACGUUUUCCUACAAAAUACGGUAAUGUUGAAUUUCGACCAAGAAGAUUAAAGUGGAGGAGACAUGCAGAUUACUAUUUGGUAAGAAUAGUAUAUAUAUCAAAUAAAGGGUAAGUAAACAAGUACACUAAUGUAAUGCAUACAAGCUUCUUUGUGUUAGAAACAUAUGUGAACAAAUCGGAGCAAGUAUAUUAAGCAAGCACAUAACUAAAAGAUCAUCAUUACUAGUUUCACUCUUUCCAGUGAAUGCAUUGUUGGUUGUUUCUUCUUCAUCCUCUUUGAUCUCCUCAGUCUCACGACGCUGCUUAUCAGCAAGCAUUUUCACAAAGCUCUGCCUGCCUGCAAGAUUCGAUCCUGUCAUGAGAAUCAUUACCAAUUGGAUGUGGAAGAACUGACGACUGACCAAGCUGCAACAUUGAGACUGACCAUGAUCAACAAGGACUGUGAAGUUGCCUUGUUAACUUCAGCUUUUGAGGUCUGAACCUCUUCCAACCUUUUGAGAGAGAAAGAAACAGUAAUGGUGGUGAAUGGUUGGGUGGUUUUUCAAAAUAUAUUGGGAGUGGUACAACUUAUAUCACGGAGUUUUGGAGGCUCUGAAUUGUGUGUUGAGUCUUUGACGAUUUCGUCCAAUCUUUCACAUGGUUGGUCUCAUCUUGGUCACUCUGGCAUUUAAAUUUUAAAUUCAUUUCGCAAUAAUAAGUUCAUAUGUUUGUUGUUAACCAUUACAAUUAUCUUAUAUGGAACUACAAGUUAUGGGAUAUUUUUUCAAUCUCGGUAAAAAAGAAAAUCGUUUUCACCUUUUGGGGUAAUGAAGAUUCAAUUCCUUUGCGCUAAGAUUUUUAUAUUGAAGAAGCUAAAUAAGUUCAUCCAAAUUGGCAAUCAAAUCUGAUACCUUAAGGAAGAGACACUCCCAAGUCCCAAGUCAAUGCACCCAAACCAACCCAGAUGGAUUUAACCGAUUCAUGUUUUAUGUUUAUAGAUCUGAACUGCCUUUGGCAAAGAUAUAGCUAGCAUAGGAGAGGCUGGAAAAAAUUCAUGUUGAAUAUAAAAAAUUGCAACAUCUUAUACGUGGAAAUUGUGGAGGAGACAUGCAGAUUAUUUGGUAAGAAUAGUAUAUCAAAUAAAGGGUAAGUCAAAAAACAAAAACAAUAAGAUAUGCGGAAGUCUUGUAUGUUACCAUUGACAAAAAAAAAAUAAGAAACAAACCAUCGAAUUAGAAACAAGUACACUAAUGCAUUAUAGAAUGAGAUACAUAUCCAAGGAUAGAGAAAUUACUACUCAUCAAAUCUCAAUACAACAUAAACUAUGAGCUGCAUAAAAUUUAGGUGUUUGUAGCUCUGGUGUAAAUCUGCUGACUUGCAUGGGAAGAUACCAGCCUGAUUAAACCUCUAGCCAUCAGAUCUCUUAUGGCUCUCCUUGCAAGUGAUCCGUUAAUCUGCAAGGUGUAUCAAAUUGUACAAAUCAUGAGAAUCUUGCUCUACAUACAAUGUAUUUAAAUAAGAAAAAAGUAUUGAAAACAAGAAAAAUACAAUUAAAAGAUGAAAACAAGUAUUAAAAUAAUGCUAGCACCAUCACUUCAUCUAGCUUUAGAGAAAAUAUGUAUAUGUGCAUGCAACAUGACAAUAAAAGUAGGAUAAUGGUUCAGCUGGCAUUGUUUAGAGUUAAGCCGGAAGCAGACAGACAAUCCUAGCCUACAUGAACAAAACAAGAUGAACACGGCUGCAUUGCAAACUGAGAAAACAAACUUUUUUUUCACAAAAUGCAAUCAUGUAUAAUGAAAAUAUCAAAUACGAGUCCAAGAGCAUAGAUAUUAACAUAAACAUUGGGCAAAAAACAAAGUGAAAACAUGCUAUCUAGAUUCACAAUCCACAAAUAUAAGUAAAAGCAAACCUACUUACUUGAUACCAAUAUUUCCAAUGACCAAAGCAACAUACCCACAUUUUAUGUAAGCUCAAACAAAAAGUUCAUAAACACUAACUAGUUUCAUAUUUUUAUAUCUACCAUCUAUAAUGUUUACCAUACCACCCCAAAUAUAUGUCUCACUACAUUCCAAUAUUCUAGUUUCUUGACAAGUAAAGAAUCAUCCAACAAAAAAGUGUGAAACAAACAUCAUAGCAUGAAAAUCUAGGCAUGUUCAUGUCCACACAAGAGACAAAGAAUGUAUGCAUAAAACAAACUUAACAGGAUAAUUAUCCCACUAAAACCAGCACAUAGGACAAUUACACACAUAAACAGGAUUUACAUUUCAUAAUGGAUCCAAGGCUGUAUAAGCUUGUAUUGAGACUCAAGUAACACAAACAAUUCAAAUUAAGAACAUAAUACAAAUCAUAAUCAUAAUAAUAUAAUAUACAACAAAAUCUCAAUCAGACAAAAUUACAAAUUAAGCAACAACUAAUCAAUCAAUAAAGAGAGAAAAAAGUAAAGGAUGUACCCUCAAACGAUCGGACAGAACAGAAGGAGUAAUGAGCUUGUAUUUGGGAGCCUCAGAGAGAAGCUUAUCAUAAGUAGCUUGAUCAAACAACACCAUGUUAUUAACCUUCUCCUUUUGCUUACCCUUGCUCCACUUCUGUUAAAAUCACAAAAACUUGACAUUAACAUAACACUCUUAAGCAAUCUAGUGUGACCCAAUUGGCAUAAUGAGAAAAAAAUUGAAACUUUAAGAAGAAAAAUGCGAACCUUCUUCUUCUGCUUGCCACCACCGGAUUUGGCUGGCUUUGAGGAAGGUGGUGGAGCUUUGUCCUUCUUUGGAGCCUGAAAGUACCAUCAAAAGAUGCACAGAACAAAAAUUUAGAAAAUGGUAAAAAGAAUGAAAAUUAGAGGUAUUGAAUUUUGAAGAGAAAGUACCAUGAUUUCGUAGAACACUACAGUGACAGCAGAAGAUGGAGGCGAUCACAAAUUCACAAUCACAAACCUAACUCGAUUAGGGUUUUACAACUUUUUGUUAUUGGAGGAGAACCAGUUUUUUUCUUGGGCCAGAAUAAUAUAGGCCCAAUAAUAUGUAAAUUUGGGCCACAAAGCACUGUUUUGGGCUAAGAUGGUUUAGGUUGGAAAUUUUUUUUUUCUACCCCAACAAUCUUCUAUCUACCCCAACUUUUUUUCUAAUAUUCCCAUUAUACCCUUAUCAAAUUUAAAUAUAUUUUAUUAUUUUUUCACUUUGUUAAUUUGUAACUUUUUUGGUAGACUGUUUACACCCAUCACCCAGUGUUCCGGUACGUUUUUUUUUCUUUUCGGGUUUGUCGAAAUUACCGGAACACUUUGAAAAAGUGUUCCGGUUUGUUAAAUUUCCAGUUUAUUACCGGAAAACUUUUCAAAAUCGUUCCGGUAUUACAAUUUUCCAGAAACGGUUGUGUGUAUACCGGAACAUACAAAAGGUGUUCCGGUAAUAACAAAGCGUUCCGGUAAGCAUAAACGUGUUUUGUUGAAUACUGGAACACUUUUCAAAGUAUCCCGGUAUACAAAAAAGUGUUCCGGUAUACAACCAAGUAUUCCGGUAUACAAAAAAAUGUUCCGGUAAUUACAUAUGUGUUCCGGUGUGUUGAACAAGUUGUAAAAAGUGUUCUGGUACAUUAAAAGUGUUCCGGUAUAGCAUAGCAGUUUUAUUAAUUUUUUUUAAAAUUUUUUUUUUAAACAGAUAUGGCUCAAAUCGGCAAUACAAGUCAAAUAUUAGUAGAUACUACAGAUGUUUUUACAACUGAUCAAAAAUUUGCUACACCGGAUNNNNNNNNNNNNNNNNNNNNNNNNNNNNNNNNNNNNNNNNNNNNNNNNNNNNNNNNNNNNNNNNNNNNNNNNNNNNNNNNNNNNNNNNNNNNNNNNNNNNNNNNNNNNNNNNNNNNNNNNNNNNNNNNNNNNNNNNNNNNNNNNNNNNNNNNNNNNNNNNNNNNNNNNNNNNNNNNNNNNNNNNNNNNNNNNUUGCUGCAGUUGUUAGAUGAUGGAAAAUAUGUCAGCUGGAAUAGAAGAAAAGAUGAUGGCUCCGAUGUUUUGAGUGAUAUUUUUUGGGCGCAUCCAGAUUCAAUCAAGUUGUUGAACUUGUUUCCCAUUGUACAUACUCACCAGGUCAAAAGGAAGUGCAGCUCUAUGGUCUUGAAACGGACGCCAUAUCACGUCAUCUGGGGUCAAUGCAUCCAGUACUGGUCGAUAAGCAGGAAGCUUCACAUUCCCUUGCCUAUACCUCCACCGCCUAGCUCGAGGUAAACUGGCACCAGGAAUAUCACAGUCAAUACCAGACUCAGCCCGCCUUCCAAGGGUAGGGAAAUACUCGUGAAUCCAACACUGUUACAACCAAAAUUUUCAUUAUUUCAAUAAGCUGAAAAAUAAUAAUGCAUCACUUUUUACGGACAAUUACAUAUAGCAGCAACACACAUAACAUACUCAUGAAAUGAAAAUAAUUAAGAAUAAUAAUUACUAAAUUGUUACAUAAAACAUGAAAUGAAAAUUAUCAAGAAAAUAGUAGCUGAAAAAUGAAACGGAUAUUAAAUACUUGUAAAAAUGUCGCAUACCCAGCGAGCCCCUUUGUGGUAAAGAUAGAAGCAUCAUUCAAGGUAUCAUAUAAUUCAACCAAGGCAAUUGCACCCCAAGCAAAUCUUGAACAUGUAGACAAAACCCUAAACAUCGGUAGAUAUUUUGCAUCCACGCGUGUAAAACUCUUGUCAGUGCAAAUGGUACAGUCGACCAACAACAACAAAUACGACCUAGCAGCACAAUCAUAAUUCUCAACUUCACACUGCCUUAUGUAGUUAUCAAAUAGCCAGUGUUGAGAAAAAUAUCCACCUCGCUGCUUUCUUGUCUCUCUAGCCGCACACUGAAGACUGACACCCAACAAUUCAGCUGCAAGUGUCGUAGCUUCUUCCUCUGUGAACGAUGACGGUGUGUAAAAGUCACUCCUAAUAGGAAUAUGCAACAAACAUGCAACAUCAUCCAGUGUAAUUGUCAUUUCACCGAACGGCAUGUGAAAUGACGAUGUCUCUGGGUGCCAUCUCUCAACAAACGUGGAUAUAAGAUUCGGAUCGACCUUGUUCAAACUGGUUCGCUCAAGUGGACUCAACCCAGAUGCAGUCAUCCAACCUUCAACAUAUCGUGGAUGUUGAGUAGGAACCCAUUCGGCCAGUUUGCCACCGAGAGAUGCUAUCUUUAAUUCAAUUCUUGGUCCAUGACGUUCCUACAUUAUAUGACAAAGGAUUGUAAAUAAGUUUAUCACAAUUACAACUUUUUUGGUCAUAUUAUGGGUGACAGAAAUCAGAGAAUAACGUCGUAAUUAAGUGAACAAAACAAAACAAAUGCAAUAAGGCAGCAAGUAAGUGAACAAAACAAAUGCAAUAGCUAUUUAUAAAUAAUACUAGGUUACGAGUGUUACCAAAAACAUUAAGUGAAUUUUUUCAUAAUUUAUGACCUGAGAUUCUUUCCCAAAACAUUAAGUGAAUUUUUUCAUAUCAUUGAUCAUAAGAUAUAUCCUACUGCUAUACAUUUCAUUGAACUUUAACUAAAACUAUAAAUAAAAAUUGAUUACCUCGCCAAACCAUACAUGACGAGCAACGUGCUCAUGAUACCGUGUCAGAAGACUANNNNNNNNNNNNNNNNNNAAACAACAUUCAUUAAUAAAAAAAUGCAAAUACAGUUUAAAAAUGCAUACCGGAACACUUGGGUUUGAGUAUUCCGGUAUGCAAACAAUAACAAGCGAAACAGAUGAGAAAUUUUAAUACCGGAACACUUAGAAAAAGUGUUCCGGUAUGAAUAUUCAUACCGGAAUACGUAAACGAAAGUGUUCCGGUAUGAAUAUUCAUACCGGAACUCUUUUUCUAAGUGUUUCGGUAUGAAUAUUCAUACCGGAACACUUGAAAAAAAGUGUUCCGGUAUGUUAUUCGUACUUACUCUCUCAAAUUCCUCUUUCACAACACCGGAACACUUUUUUGAGAUGUGAGUGGAAAAUGAAUUUUUUUUUACAGUUUUACUUUAUAUAGGAGGGCAUUUUCGUCAUUAAAAAUUUUGUGUUGGGGUAGAUGGAAGAUUUUUGGGGUAGAAAAAAAAAAUUUCUUUAGGUUGACUGUUUCUCUUCUAACCCAAACGUUCUCAAAAAUUAAUUACACAUGAACAAAAGGUGGACGGACAAGAAGUUAUGCAGUUAAGGUUCUGUUUGGUAAAAAUAAGCUAUAAGCUAGCUGAUAGCUGAUAAGCUAGCUUAUAGCUGAUAGCUGAUGGCUGGUAGCUUAUAGCUGAAAAGCUAGUAGAAUAAAAUUAAAGUGUUUGGCAAAUUUNNNNNNNNNNAAAAUAAAUAAAUAAAAUUAAUGAGGGUAAAUAUGGAAUAAAAUGAAAAAGCUAUAAGCUAUAAGCUCAUACGCUACUUGAAAUAGCAUCUCAAAAAACGCUAUAAGCUAGUUAGAGAAGCUCGUUGCCAAACACUUCACAUUUUUUUCAAACAAGCUUAUAAGCUAGUUCAAUAAGCUAUAAGUUACCUUAUUGAACUUACCAAACAGUGUCUAAAUCUUUUUAUAUAACAAAAUUCAAUCUUUAAAAAAAUUAAAUUCAUAGACUUAGGCGACACAAUAUUACUAUGCGACCUUUUGAACUCUUUUCAAAAGGUUUACAACAUCUAGUUCUAGAAAGCUAAAAGAAUGCAAACAGUAUAAAAAUGUGUUAAUUUUAAAAAUCUUUUUUAUUUGUGUGGAUUUUUUUAAAAAUCGGAUGCGUAAAAAUUGGGUUUUUGCCACGUUUAAAUUUUAAAAUCCAUAUAAAUAAAAAGGUGUUACCGAUUUUCUAUGUGCAAUUUGAGCUUCAUGAAUCCAAAUUGGAUCCCACAUCCAAACUCUGGUGUGAGAAUUUACAUAUGAUGGGACCUAAUUAAAAAGUUGCAAACUUUUUUUAUAAAUAAACUAAUAAAUGUUAAUAAACCCUUUUUUAUUCGUGCAAACAAAGUAUCAUUAGAGACGUUUAUAAACAUUAAUCACUCGUUUUAAGAGUAACUUAUUAAUCAUUUGAGCUCAAUUGCAUUUUGUCUCGACUAAAAUAAAAAGUAAAUCCUAGUUUCAAUGCAUGAUGUUUUUUAAGAUUGUCCACAAAUUGUAUUGGCACUCCACCAUUCCUUAAUCUUUCCUAAGUUUAGUUCGCCACUCCUUUCCCCAACUUCUAUGAUCACUUUUCCUUUUGCACACACCAAAAGAUUCUCAAUCUUCCCACUAUAUCUCAUCAGUCCCUACCAAAAAAUAAACACAAGAGGGUAACGUUUAUUUUAUUUUUAAAUUAGUGUUGCGCAUAAACAUAGAUAUAUAUAGUGGGAAGGUAACGUCUAUUUUUAUGUUUUUUCCUAUUAAAAAAAAAUACAUAGAUUGUUAGAUAUGUCUUAUCCAGUCCAAUUAAUCUGUAUAUUAUUUCUCUAACUACUCUAUAAUAAGGCAAACGUGUGGGAUACAACCCCUAAUCAUUCUUCAACCUUACUUCCUAAGUUUAUAAAUGUGAUAAGGAUAAACACAUCAAAUUGGUCAAUUUGCAAACUAACAUUGCAGAAAAAUAUGUUUAUACGACCUUACUUUAUACUACACCUUUAAAAAUAUUCGUUGCUAUCAUCUUCGUAACGAUUUUGAUGUAUUAGCUGUUAGGUAAAAUGGCUUCUAAUAUAAAAUAUAUUCUUGUACCAAACCAUGUAUACGGAGCAAUAUUGAGCUUUAAUUAAACAAAUUAUAUUGAGCAAUAUUACUAUAUACUUUAUAAAUUAAAUAAGAUUAUUUAGACAAACUAGUUUUCCCCCCAAAAGCACAGCUCAAGGGCAUGGAGUUUACAUGACUUAGGUAUAGGUUUUAAGUAGUUUUAAAGUGAAUAUUAUAGGGCUCAAAUAAGGGUUACAAUUCACGAAAAAUAAAAUAAAUACUCUCUCGUUAUGAAAUGGAGGUGUAGUGAAGAGAUUUACUCAAACAUGGUCAAAUAUAAUGUGCAAAUUCUAAAAUUGGAUCCUCAAUAGUCAACUUCUCUACCGCUUCUUCUACUGCACUAUUUUCAACUGUCAAAUUAAUUAAAACUAAAAUGCAAAAAAGAAAAGACUAUUUUUGUGUGUAUCAUCAACACCUCACGUUUGUUUUUUCAAGUUAAACAUCUUUUACUCCAUUAUUCAAAAAAUAAAUAAACAUCUUUUCCUCCAAUCAUGUUCAAAAUAUGUAAUAAUUUGAUGUGUUUGAGUUGCCAUAAGAAGCUUUUAACAUUCAGCUGCAAUCAUGGUCAAACAUGGUGCCGUGCCAUAUGUUUUGAAAGAGUUAUUUUAAGUACUCCUCCUAUUCCUAUUAUAGGGAAAUAAUUCAUCUUCUUCAAUCAUAUUAUCCAUGUCAUUAUCCACUACCAAAAAUUAAACUUAUGAUUAUUGUCUUCAACAUAGGACAUAGCUACCUACCAAACAGGGAAAAAGGAAUAGUGGACCCUUCAAUCCAUACCACUACUAAGUAAUAAUGUUAUAUCCUUCUCGUUUAAGUAAUUAGCUAUGGCCUAUGCAAGGACUUGAUAUUUAAUAGUAUCAAAUAUAGAUCAUUCUCGAACCAUAUUUAUUUAUCCAUGCAUGAUAAAACUAUGAAAGUUAAAUGUCAUUGUCUUUUUUUUUUGAUAAGCAAAAAUUGAAUUAUAAAGAGUACAAGGGGCACUCAACCCUUACAAUUCAAACGAAAACCAUUAGAUGCUAUCAAUGCAAACUAACGGAUCGUUACACCAAUCAGAAAAUACAAAAGAAGUAUUAACUCUCAACCGACCUAUAAACCAANNNNNNNNNNNNNNNNNNNNNNNNNNNNNNNNNNNNNNNNNNNNNNNNNNNNNNNNNNNNNNNNNNNNNNNNNNNNNNNNNNNNNNNNNNNNNNNNNNNNNNNNNNNNNNNNNNNNNNNNNNNNNNNNNNNNNNNNNNNNNNNNNNNNNNNNNNNNNNNNNNNNNNNNNNNNNNNNNNNNNNNNNNNNNNNNNNNNNNNNNNNNNNNNNNNNNNNNNNNNNNNNNNNNNNNNNNNNNNNNNNNNNNNNNNNNNNNNNNNNNNNNNNNNNNNNNNNNNNNNNNNNNNNNNNNNNNNNNNNNNNNNNNNNNNNNNNNNNNNNNNNNNNNNNNNNNNNNNNNNNNNNNNNNNNNNNNNNNNNNNNNNNNNNNNNNNNNNNNNNNNNNNNNNNNNNNNNNNNNNNNNNNNNNNNNNNNNNNNNNNNNNNNNNNNNNNNNNNNNNNNNNNNNNNNNNNNNNNNNNNNNNNNNNNNNNNNNNNNNNNNNNNNNNNNNNNNNNNNNNNNNNNNNNNNNNNNNNNNNNNNNNNNNNNNNNNNNNNNNNNNNNNNNNNNNNNNNNNNNNNNNNNNNNNNNNNNNUUGACCCAUAUCUAUACACCAGUAACUUGCACCACAAAGUGUUAUCUUCACUAAGCCCUCUCCACUUCCAUUUGCAUAGUAAAGCUUGAUUGAACAAAUCAAGAUUCUUAAUACCCAAACCUCCUUUAUCUAUAUGCCAGUGCAUGUAUCAUUCAUCCUUGCAUUGAAUUUAAUUAUACUUAAACCUUAUUACUCCUAUAUACCUAACAAAUCACCUUUAAGAUUAAAAAAAAUAUGGUAUAAUAAUGAAGUGAAAACAUAACCAAUUGAAUUUGUGCACAUAUUUAUCAAUUAUUUAGUUUAAUAUGAGGAAAAAAGUAGCAUCCUCCUCCAUUAUUGUUAUUGAUGGGUCCAUUUAGGACAAAAAGUUACUGAGGGACCAUGGAGGCUUUGGAGGGUUGACAAAAAAGAGAAGAAGAAAGCAAGAGAGAGUGGGUGGCAUGGCAAGGCAAGGCAUAUUUUUCUUAAAGAGUAAGAAAUGGGAUGCAAAUCUUUGUGGUUUCUUUCUAUAUUGACCAACUGUCAUGCACUCCAAUAAGCUACUGCCAGAUUACCACAACUAAUCUUUAAUAAUACUAUUCUUUUUAUAUUCAAAAUGAUCUUUUAAAAAUAUAAAAUAAUUGUACAUUCAUAAAAGAAAAUAAUUUAAAGCAUGAAGAUCACAUAUAUUGGGUGAAGGAAAGUCCUUGAAACCUAAAAAAGUAGGUCAAAUUUAAAUUAUCAUGAAUAAAUUAAAUGGUGUGUGUAAUCAUGUACAAUAAAAAUUUAGGUUAAAUAAGUUUUUAUUUUGUACAAUUAGUAAAUUUUCAAUUUAAUCCUUAUAAUAAAAUUAAUGUUUGCAUCUUAUAAAAAAUUUCAGCACGCGGUUUUUUUUUUUGGUAUGCAGUUUGUCUCUCUUAAAUUCGGAUUUAUUAUUUACUUUUAAAUUUUUGAAUAUAUGUUUAAAAUAUUAUAAAAAAAAAAUUGCAAAAAAAAAAUCAAAAAUUAAUUUCUAAGUCCAUACUUUCAUUUUUCUUUAUCUUAUACUUUUAAUGUUUUAAAAAAUUCAUAUUAAGUUGAUUCCGUGUUCAAAAUUAUAAUGUUCUAAGCAUAAAUGUAGAAAAGCCGUAUAGUUUUUUGUUUUGGACGAAACCAAAGGCAAAUUAGAAUAUAUGUUGCAUAUUUUCGAAUAAAAGAAGCAAAAGAAAAAUCAUUGUUUAAAAGAAAAGGAAAUUGAUAAAUAAAUUAACAAAAAAAAAGUAAGAAAGGAAAUGGAAUAUUAUUGGGGAAAAGUAAAAGCACUAGAUUCGUGUCUCUAAAUAAUAUAUUGUUUUAUGAACACUUGUUUUAUGCAUGCUUUUGAUUCGGUUCUAUAAAUUAAAGGAAGACAUGACCACUCAUUUCGAAAAAAAAAAGACCAAACCCAAAGAGAAUACAGAACAAAACAUAGAUACUCUGUUUUCAGAUUCUUACUCACACUCUAAUAUCUUUUCUUUAAAAUAAAAAUUAUUCACUCUCAAUUUCCAUGCUUCUAUUCUUAAAUAUCACUGCAGUGUCUAUUAUAGCUGCAGAUUCUUCAGAUAUUGUUUAUAUGCAUAAAUUUUCAGUCCCUUUUAUUUAACAACAAAACAGAGUAAAAAAACAGAACGUGUUCUGUUUUGUUCUGUUUCAUUGCUCUUUUACUAAGAUAAAAUGGGUUCAAGUUCAAUCAAUUUGCAUAAACUCAAACCAGGGAAAUCCAACAAAAUUCAUAAACAUCGUCAGCUAAGAAAGAUUGCAAAUUUGUUGAGGUAUGUAGAGAUGUGUGUUGUGUUGGUUUUGAUUUCAAGAGUUUCAUUUCAACAACUACCAUUAGCUUUGAAGAUGUCGAGCGAGUAUUUUCGCGGUUUCACAGUUAGUCCUCGAUUUGUUUUUCUGAUUGGAAACAUCAUCAUCAUCACACUCUUUGCUCAAUCUGGUCAUUUUUCAUCUAAUGAUUCUGCAAAAAGAAGAAGUUCAGAAGAUGAACUGUAUCUUGAGUUUCUAAAGAACAGCAGCAUGUAUCAGAGAGUCCAAGGUUUUGAACAGAAAAAAUUGAGCAUAAAAAUGGAGAACAGCAUAAAGGGUCGUAGAAUCAAUGAUCGUUGCAUGGUGAAAUUCUCUGAGAAAGAGUGUAAGAAAAGUGACGAUGAUAAGAAAGUGAGGUUGGAAGAGAAACAGGGGAUAAAAACAGAGUGUUGCAAAGGUAUGGAAGUGAAAGAAUAUAGGAGGUGUCAAUCGGAAAUCACGUUGGUGAGGGGUGUCAAUAGUGAUGAUGAGAAGGAACAAAAAGUUCUGCAAAGGUGUGAGAGUGAGAAUGAUGAAAGAAAGAGGAGAAACAUUGAAUUUGAUAAACAGAAAAUGAUGGAAAAAAGUUCUUGUUUAUAUCCUGAAGAUGGAAUGAGCAAUGAUGAAUUUCGUCAAACAGUUGAGGCAUUUAUUGCGCGACAACAGAAGCUACGAGCAAAUGCAAUACAAAGCUUUUAUUCCUAGCUAAUUACUGUGUCAUUUGUGUGAAAAUAUUAUCAGGAAUUGGGUUGUAAACUAAGCUAAACCCUUCUGGUUUUUCUUUUCCUGUUUUUUUAUCUAAAUUUUUCUUCUUCUUUUUUAAUGAACAAACAAAUAUGUGGUGUAUCUUGUAUCAUCAUCAUGUAAAUAAAGGUUAGGGGAAGUGAGUAAAUAACAUUUUGGAUAAUAAAACCAUUAUCUGUUUAUCUAAUUGGGUUUUGUUUUCAAAUCUAAAAAUAUUUGUGUUAUCUGAUGUUAAAACUCAGUAAGUGAACUGAGUUGAUUAAGUAGUACUGACCUUGAGAUGAAGGGUUGUGAUUCCAUCUCAGACAUAGGAAAGAUAAUAACUAGUUGGACAUUUUUAAAUUUUGAGAAUGAAUUCACAUCCUAUGGUAUAUGGCCUGGUAUUUUCUAUGUAAAUCAGAUAUUUUUCACGCACAACUGAAAAAUUAAUUUAUCGAGCUGGAUUGGAAAAAAGGUUAUUAAUUAUAUAUUUCUAUUUAUGAGUUGCAAAUUUCAAAAAAUCUAAUUUAGUUGAGCUUGCCUCUCUAGAGGGAGAAAGUAAGUAGACGCAUUUCUAUUACUUCAACUUUCUACAUAAUAGGAAUGCGUCUACUUUUCCUACCGUCCUCCCAUCUUUGCCGCAAUGUAAAAGCCAUACUAUGUGAUUGGCAGUGGCACUAACUCAAUAAGCCAAAGUACAUUAUUACAACCUUUUUAGGCACUCAUCAAGUCUUUAUUUUUUGGUACCAAAAUCUUAACUGUCUACCACUAUAGGUUUAGGCCUUGUGCAUCUUACUUUUAAUUUGAUAAUUAUUAUAAAAAAUAACAAGUGUGGGCAAUUAAGGGCCGUAUAAGGUUCACAAUAGAAGAAAAUAUAUUAUGAUAACUUUUCUUCUCCCUUCCCCAACUUAAUUGUCCAGGUACACUAUCUUGACCUUCCUUCUUAACCCUCUUUGAUGAGGGUCAAUUCAACAAUAAAAUGGAUCAAUGAACCUUCCCCUAUGAUUAAUUUCUCAUGGAUUUGGGAAAGGAUUGUGAAAUUAGUAGUUCACAUCAGGAUUUCAGUUCAAAUAAAAAUUACUACAUCUGCCUCUAUAUGUAAGACUAAGAUUCCAUUGAGCAAAACACAAAAUCACCAAAGAAACCAUUCUCGAGAUGAAUAGGGUGUUAUACUUUUUUUUUUAAUUAAAUUACAAGUAAUGAAUAAUAUAAAAUUAGUCUUCUAAGAACCAAGUAGCUGCUCGCAAUUCAUUCGAAUCUUCCUAAGACGAUUGCUCUUUUCCCUCCGCAUUGCUCACGCAGAAGAAAAAAAUACACUACCGAAAGAUAUCUUUUGAUGAGAAUGGAGGGAUUCAGAGCAAUGUAGGGGGAAAAGAGCUCCAAAUAAAAAAAAAAUAAAAGGCAGUUUAAUUAUGGUGGUAUACCAGCCACCUGUGCUGGAACUUCCAGUUCCAAUCGAAGCAUAUCUAUCCGUAAAUGGAUUUGUAUGUAUAGCCAUUACCCUUCUUAAAUCUGAAACAAACACAAAGAAAAACAAAAAAAGGUGAUUUUUUUUGAAAAAAAAAUCUUAAACAAACGAGGCCUAUGAUUUAUACUUCCAAUCCAUUUAUCCCGAAAAGCUCCGCAGUGCACCACUCUUUCUCAGUCUCACACAGAUAGAGUUUUGUAGUUUAGCAGCAGAUAAAUACAAAAAAAGUUACAUACAAACUUAUCAUUCGGUUGCUUUGCUUCUGAAACGAACUUUUCAUUCCCGUCUAGGAGCACAUGAAUUGACUGCAUUGAAGUACGUUCAACUAUUUGCUGUUAGUCCAUAAAUCUAUUGUUGUGCCUGAAACAUUGAGUAUAAUAAAAUGUGAAAAUCAAGUUACAGGUAAAACAAAAAUGCACCACAAAUACGAAGCAUUCUCAUAAAAUUCUCUCAAAAGCAUGAUAAUUAAUAAUGUACUUAUAGAGGAUUACUGCAAAACCAACAAUUAACAGGUAUAAUGAAAGUGGCUUAACUUUUCUAAAUAAUAUGAUGAUAAAAACUAGUUUGAAUCCAAAUUAGAAAGAAAAUAAGAAUAAUUUUAAACUCUUUCAAACUUAAUAUAUACUUAUAUCUAUAUAUAUAAAUCCUAGAUAGUUGUCCAAUUGACUAUCUAAACCCUAAUCCACAUCACCCACUUAAACCAAUGAAAACCUUUCAUUUAGCCAUAUCACCCACUUACAUUCAUUUAAUGUGUGGUACUAAAUAUUAUUAUUUUAUUUUAUUAUUAUUAUUAUUAUUAUUAUUAUUAUUCUUUUCGGUUACUAUUCAUUUUAAUUUUUUUUCUUCAUUUUAUUAUUUUGUGUAUUUUAUUAUUUUUGGUUCAUAAUAGGUAAUGCUUUUGCUAAUAAUCUUUUGUUCAAUCUUUGUGUAUAUAAUUAGUUGGUCGAUUGUCAAGACUAUUUAUUGAUGAUUUUGGUACGCAAAUUCAUCGUCACAUUCUUUUGAUUGAUCCAAAUAAAAAUCAAUUUGAAGUGUUAAUAAAAAAAAUAGAUAAAAUAAAAUUUACUGAUGGUUUGUAUGAUGUUCAUGAUUUUUNNNNNNNNNNNNNNNNNNNNNNNNNNNNNNNNNNNNNNNNNNNNNNNNNNNNNNNNNNNNNNNNNNNNNNNNNNNNNNNNNNNNNNNNNNNNNNNNNNNNNNNNNNNUACUACCUAUACAAAUAAUUUUUUUAUGUUAUAGUAUAAAACAACGCAUAAAACCCGUGCGAUAAUUUUUUAUGUUAUAGUAUAAAACAACGCAUAAAACCCGUGCAUCGCACGGGUAAUUGUCUAGUAAGCAGUUAUUUCCAAAAAGUUGUGUGUUGAUAUAAGCAGUUAUUUCCAAAAAGUUAUGUGUCAUUUAGUAUAUCAUACAGCAGUUGACUUUAGUGUGUAUGCUCAACAAGGCUCUGACCUCAUGUACCAUAAGAAAGAAAGCACCAAUCCGCAUUCUAUAAAAACUGAAUCACCUUCGAUAUCCAACAAAACUAAAUUGCAUACUUGCCUCAUUUCAAACAGCAGAAACAACUUGAAGUAGGGACUAAGAUCUACCUUAUUUUAAACAGCCAUCUUCAUCUCAAUCUUCUGGUGAGGAUCAUAGCCAAUGAGCUUGAAAUCAGUAGCCACAAAAGAAUCGAUAUCUUUCUUCUGUGGAUUGAUCUUCAAAGUCUGCAUUGGAGUCAGUUUAGUCAGCAAGUAAAAGAGUAACCAAACACAAAUCUAAAGUAGUGCUAAAUGGUAAAAAAAAAACUGUGUGCCUAACUACAUUAAAGUCAAUAAUUUUCUUAAACAUUACACGUACUGGAAAAGGUUUUGGCAGGUUAUGAAGCUGGUCCUGCAAAGGCUUCACAUGAGUUUGGUAAACAUGUGCAUCCCCAAUAUCAUGGAUAAAAUCACCCGGAACAAGUCCUGACAAGAAAAAGACAUAAUAUAAGAAUUUAUUGUUUCAAUUUCAAAUUACUUAUUGAUAUCUUUAAUGAUAUUAUCAACCCAAUAAACUUUUGAACCCCAAGCACAACAACACCUGACCUUCAAUACUACAACAAAAAAAACCACCACCGAGCUCUUUCCAGUUUCCCACUGGGUGAAUCAGUUGAUCCCAUAAAAUCCUGUCAAGCAUUAGAUCCAAAGACCAUUUACCCCUAAACUUUUCUCUUAAUGGUUUCGCCUAUAGUUUUCUUUGAUCUACCACUAGCUAUUAAGCUUAUCUUCCAUCUGUUAAACACCCCUCUUCUACAAGCCUACUCCUCACAUACCCGAACCACCUAAGACAAGACUACCAUCUAUUCUACAAUGGGGGAAACUCUAAUUAUCUUACUGAUUAUUGUACUUCUAACCUUACUCUUAAAACUUGGGUUGGGGCAUAACUCAACACUAUAAAACCAGCUUGUAUUUCUAGCCAUAUUUUCUGUUUUACUUCUACUUCUACUUGGCCAAAAACUGUGUAUUUCCACAUUGUGAAUCCAUGUAUUCAAAAUUAUUCAUGUUACUAAAAGAUGUGAUAGAACAUUUGAAAGAGAAACAACAUCAAAAUAAAAGCUUUAACCCCAUGUAUUCAAAAUUAUUCAUGUUACUAAGAGGAAACAUAGAACUAUUGAUGUAUCAACACGUGACUUAAGUAAAAAUAAACAUUAAAUUUUUUGUCAUGAACCAACUUUCUCAAAAGCUUAAGCUGUGAGGUGAAGAUGCAUGAAUGGUCUUUAUUAUAUAUCUCUAACAUGCCACUUCAUGUGGGAGCUCUAUGGGCUUAAAGGAUGGGCAAUAUACAGGUUCACCGACCUUGUGAUGAAAUUAUUAGAAGAAUAGGAGCAGGAAGCAACGAACGCUAGACCAUUUUGUCAAAAAGAUCAAAUACUAUAUCGUAAAUCAAAUAUCCCAAAAACUUGAGUUGUAAGGUGAAAAUAAAUGAAUGGUCUUUAUAUUACAACUCUAAUAGUUUGAACAAACCAAAUGAGGCUAACUUCCUAGGGUAAAUCUCAAUUUAACAAAAACAACUAAAUCAAGAUUGGGCUGACCCUGCACAGGAAAUUAAUACAACCACCACCAACUAACAAGAUUAAAAAGACAUUUAGAACCAAAUAAAAAAAUAACAUAUAUCAUCUCUUAUUACCCGCACAAAACCCCAAGAUUUAAGAUGGUUUAUACAUAUUAUAACAUAGUUACUUUACAGCAGAUGUAUGGAUAAAUUUGCAUACCACAAAUAUGAGCAAUCAUGCAUGUCAAGAGGGCAUAAGAUGCAAUGUUAAAUGGCACACCCAGGCCCAUGUCAGCAGAUCGCUGAUACAUUUGACAUGAUAACUCCCCAUUUGCUACAUAGAACUGCAAAAAUUAAAUUUGAGAAUAUAAAUUAAAAAGGACGGAGAGACUAGAGAGGUAGGGGGGGAGAGUUUUUAAAGUGAAAUUUCCCAAAUGAAAUUGCAGACCUGUGCAAACAUGUGGCAGGGAGGAAGAGCCAUCAAUUUAAGAUCUGCUGGAUUCCAUGCAGAGAGAAUGAUCCUCCGAUCAUCUGGAUUAUGCUUUAUCUUGUUGAUAACAUCUAAAAGCUGAUCAAUUCCUUGGCCGGUGUAGUCAUUAUGCAUGUUAGUAUACCUAUAAAAUAUAAUAUGGAGAAUAAAGAACACAUUACCAUAUAAAUAGUCUAUUGACCUAGUGAGAAAAGGUCUAAAUCCACAUACCUAGCACCGAAGUGCCUCCACUGAAACCCAUAAACAGGUCCUAAGUCACCCUCUUCCCUGUCUGACAAACCAAUGCUGUAAUAAAAUGUAAAUCCAGUCAAUAAAUGGAAGAAGGAAAGUGUACAAUUUGUAUUUAAAAGUUACAUCAAUUAACAAUCAUGCUCACCUAUCAAGGAAUUCCCUGGAUGCAUUAUCAUCCCAUAUAUGAAUGCCUUUUUCUUGUAACAUCUGUCAAUCUAAGUGAGUUAAAUAACAUGCUUUCAAUAGUUUUGCCUCUGUCAAAACUAAGCUCAAGUAACAUAAAGUACCCCAGCCCUAUGCGGCACAAUAUUUGGUUCAUGUCAAUGGGUUAGCGACCUAACUAAUAAAGUUGAGGAUUUAUAUGAUUGUGGAUAAGAUUGGUAAAGGAUAUAAAUACCUUGGCAUUUGUUGAGCCGCUGAUAAACCAAAGAAGCUCUUCAACAACCCCGCGCCAAAAUACUCUCUAGCAAUCAAAUGUAGAUAUCACUUCAACUUUUUAUAAAAAUAUACAAACAGAUAUGCCUUUUCCCCAAUAAAGACCAAAAGUAGUAAACGAACAAAUGAGUAAAUAAUAAAAACAGCUCUUCCGUAAUAAAGACUAAAAAUAGUGAACCAAUAAAUGAAUCAACUAUAACAAGUUAUUUUAUACAGUAGAUUAACACAACAUAAACCAUAAUUCUGCUACAUACACACCUUAGUUGUUAGAAGAGGAAAGCUUCUGCGCAGAUUGAAUCGCAUCUGUGAAAUUAUUACAGAUGUGAGACGACGUAAGGAUAUAAAUUGCAUCAAGACACUAACUGAAGUUGAAGUUUUACCUGGCAACCAAAUGUUGACAAGGUCCCAGUCCCUGUCCUAUCACCCUUGGUAGUACCUUGAGAUAUGAUUUCUUGAACCAGAUUAAGAUACAUGUACUCCCCAUGUCUCUCAAAGAUCAUUUUAGGAAGAAAAGAAAAGUUAUGAACCUCAAAUUUUUUAGAAGCUGAAUUAUUAUCAAAAAGUGAAUCACUAUUCUGACUGAGGGGCUCUGCUGCAGAACUCCUUACACGCACAUAAGUGGUGAAAGAAUAUCGGAUGUUGUUUUCCACCUUAGGAUAAGAUGAAUACCAUGGCCGAAAUAUAGUGGUAUCAAUUGGAGGCAUAAAGGUGUCACACUCAAUGUUUGCUUGAAUUUCUGUGACGUGGAUAGCUUCACAUUCAGGUGCAUUGAGAGCCUCUCUAUACACGGAAAUAAUCAACUAUAAGUCGACAACAUAGACAAUAAUACUUAACAACAUGAAAGGGAAAAAAUAGGAACAAAGUAGUAAUACCUAAAUAUCUCACCGCCCCCGAUAACAAAUAUUCUCUCAAUCGAUGUACUGUAAGGAGAAGCAGCUAAAAGUUGUAAUGCAGAAGACAUACUUGUACAUAUAACAACAUUUUCUACUGGUACAUUAUCAAAGCUACCCGAACGAGUCAAAACAACAUUAAGACGGCCAGGAAGAGGCCUGAAGUGAAGAGGGAUACUCUCCCAUGUUUUUCUUCCCAUGACAACAGCAUUCUUCUUCCCAGAUUGAGAUGUUGUGGUAGUGAUUUCCUUGAAAAACUUGAGAUCGGUAGGUAAUCGCCACGGUAAUUUUCCAUCCUUACCGAUUCCCAUAUCUUGGGUGGCAGCAACUACUACUUGGUAAGCCCUCUUCUUCUGUAGGUUGUUGAUGCUGCCAUUGGCAUUGGCAUUUGCAGCCAUAGUAGAACAACUUCUUAGAAACCGAAUUAAACUUAUUAAGGAUUGGUUUCGACUUAAACAAGGACUGCACAACCAAUUAUUUUGGAUGUGCAGUGCAAUCUGAAACCCAAACAAAUUACUAAAUUAAAUGAAUUGUUCUUAAUUAGUGAGAAAUGAAAAUGAAGAGAAUACAACAACAAAAACAAAUGCGAUGCUCACCGGUUUCAAACAGAGGCGCGGAAUUUUGAAUUAAUCGGUAGAGUUAGAGAGAGGGAUUCAUUCACCCACCGCAAUUCAGAGAGGGUUUUGUGAGUCAAGAAAGCUUCAACCUUUGCUGCUACUUUCAAUUGAUUUUUUUUUUUCACAACAUUUUUUAUCUACUUCUAAUAUACUAUCAAAUUUAUUAAUUUCUUUUUAUUUAUUUAUUGUAAUAAGAGGAGGGAUUCGUUCACUCAACAAAUUUUAUAUUUUCGUCAAAAAAAAAUUAUAUUCUUAAUCGUAAUUUUACUCUAUUAAUAAGAGAUAGAUAAAAAUAGAAAAAACAAAUGUGAUUCUAUGCAUAAAAAUAUCAAGAAAAAAAAUAUAGAAAGUUUAGUAAAAAAUAACAUAUAAAAAAUAAAUAAAAAAAUAAUAAAAAGACUUGAUGACAAAACUAACCUCCGAACCAGAUUAAACUGGUGGUUAAAAAAAAUAUAUUAAUUUAUACAUAAAAAUAUUAUAGAAAAUUUAGUCAAUAAAAAAAAAUAAACAUAAAAAAUAUUACUACUAUAGGAGUAUUUACUAAUUCGUCCUUAUAAGUUUUAAUAAUAUUUCAAAUUUCUACCUUUCUACGAAAUAGAAACAUAAUAGAUAUUAAUAAUUUGUUACUCCCUCCGCUUCAAAUUACUUGACGUUUUAGGGAGAAAAAAAAAUCAAAUUACUUGUCGUUUUGAUAAUUUAAGGUUAUAUUUUUUCUAUUAUACCCUAUGUAAAUUCCAAAUAUUUAGAAGUAGUUGUUGAAACCGGAAAAAAUUUAAUAUAUAUUUGGAAAACUAAUUUUUUUUUUACAUAACGUAUUAAAUUUAUUAGAAAGAGAAAGUGUGAGAAAAAAAAUAUUGAUGAAUUAAAAUAAGGGUAUAAUAGGAAAAUAAGGUGCAAAAAUAUACUUUCUUAAUUUCUUUGUUUUUUUUCUAAAACGUUAAGUAAUUUGAAACGAAGGGAGUAUAAAAUAUUUCUAAAUAUUUAUUCUAACUAAAUUUUACUAUCUAUAUCUAUAUGAAUAUUUAUAUCUAUAUUAUUUACCUUGCUCAAAACAAAAAAUACACAUGUCAUUCUCAUGUUUAUUCUCAAUAAUUUAAUAUGAUGUGACGCUUAUGUGUGACACUCUUACUAUGCACAACCUUUUGGCAUUUUGUACCAUCCAAAAUAUGAAAUGAAAAUAUGAAUGUGCGUCAAAACUUUCGAUUAGUAAAUUUUGUUGGUGAUCUAAACACAGGUCAUGAAAUAGAACAUUCUAAAGAUAAAAAGAAGAAAAGAGUUGGGUCUAUAAAGAAGGUGGCAAAGAGUGCCUCAACCAAGUUCAAGCAUUCCUUCGCCAAGAGGGGAGGAAGCACAGCAGGGUUGUAUCUAUCGCUGUCCAGGAUGAUUUUGAUGCUGAAGAGUUACUGGCAGUUGACGUUUUUCGCCAAACACUUAUCUUGGAUGAGCUAUUAUCCGCAAAACAUGAUGAAAGCAUAUGGCAAUUUCGCAGGACAAGUAUUCCAGAGGCAAUAUAGGUCCCUUGCACUGCUGAAAGCUACUCACGACUUAAUGCUGCAAACUUCUUUUUGAAAAAGUUAAUGUUGCAAACUGAUCGCGCAUUGUAUGUCCCGUUUGAAGAUCCCGGUGAAGAGGCUGAAAAAGAUGCAAUCUUCUAGCUUCCACGAAGUAAGUUUUAGUGUUAAUUAUAAAUGUAGUGUUGAUAUUUUUAACUUAAGAAUGACUAUCUCUUGUAGAUAAUGGUUGUGUCUGUGUUUUUCCUUUGUGAACUAACUUCCUUGUUACUUUUGGGUGAAGUGGGCUUUGGAAACAACCCCGUUCCUUAAAUUUCAUGGGCCCUAGACCAAACAUAAGAAAAAAACUUCUUUCAUGGGAAUUAAACCCGGGAUCAUUUGCUGUGAAUAAAGUCUUUCAACCAUUAUGACAUGUAAACCAAUUGUGUUUAAAGUUACGUCCUCAAGGUGUUAACCAUAUCGAAACUUUACAAUUUCGAAUAAAUUUUGCGGAAUUAAUUUGUUCAUACUCAAAUAGAAAAGAUUUCAUAUGUCAAUUAAUCACCAUGAAAUGAAUUUUAAUUAACUUGAUAUUAUUUUUUUUGAUAUCAGAAUUAUGUAUUUAGUAUACGUAUAUGAGAAUAAAAAAAUAAAAUGGGAAUUCUUAGCUGUUAGAAUUAUUAUAGUUUUUUCUUUGGUACAUAAAAUUAGACAUUAAUGAUUUCAAAAAAUAAGCCUAUGUAGAUUUAUUUUUUUAUCAACCACUAAGAAACAAACACAAAUCUUAAAAAAACAUAGAUCUAUAAAAGGCUGCAUGGAAAUAUCACAUCAAUAAGCCCGUGAAAAUAUUCUCAGAUUGAGUUUUGAGAAUUGGUGAUGGAAGUAUUGGAGACAUAGAUGAUGUCGACAAUAACCUGCGUAUUCCAAAUGAUAUUAUGAUACCAAGUUCAGAUAAUCCUAUUGCCUCGAUCGUUACUGCCAUAUAUCCAUCUAUAAUUGAUAAAUUAGGAACUUUGGUGGUAAUCGAUUUUAAUAUACUAGAUGUUUUCUAUCACUUUUUCUUAUCACAAAAGUUUUCAUUUUGGUGAGUGGUAGUAGGCAUGAAUAUAUCCUGACUUAGUGGAGCACCAUAACAUUGUAUCUACCAGCCGACUUGAAUUAAAGAGUUUUUUUUUUUUAUAUUAAAAAAACAUAUAUAAAACUGUGAGAAAUGUUAUAUUUGAACAAGUUAUUAUGGCACUUGUAAUCCUGUAAAUGAAAAUGUUAAUAGGACCAAAUCAAAAUGAAGCAAGAGUGUAACGUAAGAAGAGAUCAUGUAUUGAAGAAAAUAAUAAUGUAAAAUUAAGGACAUGAUCAAAUAAUAAUAAUAAUAAUAAUGUAAUAAGGUAAGAAACUAACAAUAUUGAUGAGUUGGUAAUUAAGAUUGAUGAGUGGGAAUUAAGAAUUAGAUUUGUGAAAGAAAUGAACGGAGUGGCUUGCAUUUCGCAAACACCAACUCAAUGUAUGUAAUGUAAUAAAUAUGAUAAUUAACAAAAACAGCAAAAGUCUAUAAUUGUUAAGAAGUUGUACACCAACCUUAUCUGGCUUUGCCAUUUUGACCAAACUAUCUCAAUCAUAAUAUCAUUUAAUCAGAUUUAUUCGGAUAUCAUAUAUUUGUGUUUUUUGCCUUUGCUUUUUCCAAACCCCUACCUACAUUCUUGUUUCAUAGGUACCAUUUCAUCUCUCCUAUCCUAAGAUUCUAUUCUAUCAUUUUUCAUCAUGUACAAACUAUUCUUACCUUUCUUGUUUGCUUAAUUCAUCUGCAUUUAAUCAUUUCCUUUCUUGUUUUUUAAGGUAUAAUAGGUGCACAUGAAACCUCAAUUGUGGGGAUUUGAUCUAUGCUAGUGCUUGAUUUUCUUCUGCCUUAAAGGCUGUGUUUGAUCAUUCGAGUUAUCUUGCAAUAUUCAAUCAAUCAUGUGUGACCUUAUGUCCGCACCAGCACCAAUCAAAAUUGGUCAGUCUAAUUCAAUUCUUUAAUUUCAUAUUUCAGUGCUUUCGGAUUUUAUUUUUACCGGAAUAUUUAUGUUAUUAGUAUAUGAUAUACUAAUUGUGCGUGAAUUAUAUGUAUUCUACGGAGUAUAUGGUUAGAUUUUGUACCAUCCAAAAUAUGAAAUGAUACAAAAUCAGAAAUAUGAAUGUUUGCCAAAACUUUCAAUAAGUAAAUUUUGUUCGUGAUCUAAACACAGGUCAUGAAAUGGAACAUUCUGAAGAUGAAAAGAAGAAAAGGGUUGGGUCUAUAAAGAAGGUGGCAAAGAGUGCCUCAACCAAGUUCAAGCAUUCCUUCGCCAAGAGGGGGAGGAAGCACAGCAGGGUUGUAUCUAUCGCUAUCCAGGAUGAUUUUGAUGCUGAAGAGUUAUUGGCAGUUGACGCUUUUCGCCAAACACUUAUCUUGGAUGAGCUAUUACCCGCAAAACAUGAUGAUCCUCAUAUGAUGCUAAGGUAACACUUGUCGCAUAGUGUAAUUUUGAGUCAUAUAUAUGAUGCUAAGGUUACACAGUUUUUGAUAUCAACCGUUCUCAAGCUACAAAAAAAACAAAAGCAGCUUAAAAUGAUCUCGACAGUUAAUUUGAUAUUAGACGAUUGUAAUCUAAAACUCGCACCAAAUCCUUUUUUUAGUGAUAGCAUGCAUGAGUAGUUUUAUUUUAUGCCUUGAGAUUUGAUUUCAAUGCUCUAAUGGACCUAUAAUUUUACUGCACCAUGUUUUAGAUUUUUAAGGGCAAGAAAAUAUGACAUAGAGAAAACAAAACAAAUGUGGUCAGAUAUGCUUAAGUGGAGGAGUGAAUUUGGUGCUGACACUAUCAUGGAGGUAUAUUCAAGUGGAAAAAAAUCAUGUUCAUAUCAUAUACUUCUGCAUAACUUUAUUUACUUAUGUAUUCUUAUCGUACAUUGUUUUCUGUUAUAAGGAUUUUGAAUUCGAGGAAAAAGAUGAAGUUCUAAAAUACUAUCCACAAGGGCAUCAUGGAGUUGAUAAGGAUGGUAGACCUGUUUACAUUGAAAGGUUGGGUCAGGUUGAUUGUAACAAGUUGCUGCAAGUAACAUCGGUGGAUCGUUAUCUCAAGUACCAUGUAAGAGAGUUCGAGAGGACUUUUACUGAGAAGUUGCCUGCGUGUUCAAUUGCCGCAAAGAAGCACAUUGACCAAAGCACAACUAUCUUGGAUGUGCAAGGAGUGGUGUGUACAAAAUUCUACUUCUAAGACUAUUUUAUAAUUAUGAAUAUCAUAUCAAUUGUUAUAAAUGAUUUUUCAUAUUGAAAUAAGUUUCUCACAAUUGCUGACUAGCAUGCUUGGUGCUCAGGGUCUUAAAAGUAUGAACAAAGCUGCAAGAGAUCUCCUCCAGAAGCUUCAGAAGAUCGAUGGUGACAACUAUCCUGAGGUAUACUGCUUUAUCUAUUCUACCAGGCGUGGUCGAUGUUGUUAAUCGCAUAUUUCAAAAAAUGGUGGUUUGUUCAAAUUCUGCUACGCAAAAGUGCUAGUAUCCUCUAUCUGACAACAUUUUGUACUAAUAGCCUAUUAUGAAACAAUAGUAUUUUGUUCAAAUUCUGCUAUGCUAUAGCACCACUAUUUAAUAACACAGGCAUGAAUUGACUUGUAAAUUGACCCUAAUGGAACAUUUUUUUCCACACAGUCCCUCAACCGUAUGUUCAUCAUCAAUGCUGGUUCUGGAUUUAGGCUAUUGUGGAACACUGUUAAGUCAUUCCUAGAUCCCAAGACCACCUCCAAAAUCCAUGUAAGCAUUUUUAGGCUACUUAUAAAUUUGUACCUUUGGAGUAUGGUCCAUUUUUAGUUAACUUGUUAAGCAAGGAACUGAACAUAUUAAUGAUCUAUUGACCAGGUCCUAGGCAACAAGUACCAGAGCAAGUUGCUUGAAAUCAUUGAUGCCAGGUUAAAUUUAACUCCUCCCUAUCAAUCAAAUUAAUUGAUUUUAUUUAUUUAUGAGUACUACUUAUGACAAUGAAUAACACCUUAAAUUGUUUAUGUAAAUUUACCAGUGAACUUCCAGAUUUCUUGGGUGGUACAUGUACUUGUGCAGAUAAAGGUGGAUGCAUGCUAUCUGACAAGGGUCCAUGGAAUGAUCCAGAGAUCUUGAAGGUAGUUUUGCUGCAAAAAUGAUGAAUUUUAUUUGUGACAUAAAGAUUAGUAUUAGCAAAGUAAAACGAUAAAGUAACGAUUUUCUUUGGAUGAAUUAGAUGGCUCAAAAUGGUUUUGGCAAAUGCUCGAGAUUGCCCUUAUCCGCACAGAUUGAGGAGAAAACAAUCCAACAAGUUGAAACUGUAUAUCAGAAGGAAUACAAAGAUCCAUUUCCAGAGUCAUUCGAUGUUCAUUGCUUACCCCAUGAUGAACCUAAAUCCUAUGCUGUAAGUUUUAGGAAACUACCUUCCUAGUUUGUUUAUCUUAGACCAAGUUUCAAGCAUAGUUAGACCAAAUUUCAUGACUUGAUGAAAACUAAACUAAAAUUCUAAUCCCAUUGUACCUUUUUCUUAAUAUUGUGUGUUGCAGGUUGCAAAGAAAUGUGAUGCUUAUCAGUAUGAUUCCUAUGAUGUUCCAGUACAUGACAAAACAGUGGAUUCAUCAUGGAAGAAAACAAUACAACAUGACAAAUAUGCACUUUCUAAAGGUAUUAUACCUUUUGAGUUUCUGUUAAAUAAACAGCUUAAUUAAGCGCUUAUAGUAUAUGUGUUUAUCAAACUAUCAAACUGUUUUUUAUAAAAAUUAUAAGUUGUUUUCAUAAGUUAUCCUUUAGAGUAUAUAAAAAUAGCUCAAAAACAGCUUAUAAACAUUAUUUUCAUAAGCUCUUCCAAUGAGUCCCAAAUAAGUCAACUCAAACAUACCCUUCAUACAUUAUUCUUCCCAUUUAUAUGUGUUGAAAUUGAUGUAUCUAAUAAAAAUAGAUGAUAGUGCAUUAGAGAAAACUAGGAUAAUCUAAAAUUGCUGCAUAUUUCUAGAUUAACUAAGCAUAGAAACAUGUAUAACAAUAUAUUAUAGAAAAGUCAAAUAAAAGUCUAGAUAAUUCUACUUCCAAAAGCAUCUUUAGACACAUACCAAUAAGUAAACUCGUCUGCAAUUGUAUUUAAGCUUUUAAGAUCGAUAUAAAGUCAAUAAUGUUCAAACUUCACCAUACUACAUUUCUCCUCCUAAAAUAAAUUAAUUACUAAUGUGUUGCCUCUUGUCAGAUGUUACAUAUUAGUACUCGACUGCUAGUUCUCAUACUGUACUAUAAUAUGAACUAAUUUUUCUAUUAUUAAAAAAAAAAAAAAUUUCCUUAAUGUGCAGAUUGUUUCCCCAACAAUGAUGGAAAGAUUUCUGGUGGUGGGAUUAGCAAACAAUUUGUUGGUGGAAUAAUGGCCCUUUUGAUGGGAAUUGUGACCAUGAUUCGCAUGACAAGGAGCGUGCCAAAGAAAAUCACAGAAGCAGCACUUUAUGGUGGCAACUCAGUGUACUAUGAUGGGCCCAUGAUGAAAACAACACCUGCUGCAGUUUCAAACAAUGAGUAUAUGGCCAUGAUGAAACGCAUGGCUGAACUUGAAGAGAAAGUUACUGUUCUCAGUGUUAGGCCUAUCAUGCCUCCAGAAAAAGAGGAAUUGCUUAAUAAUGCUCUCUCUAGGGUCAGUACUCUUGAACAAGAGUUGGGUGCAACCAAAAAGGUACGUACUGCUUCUUUAUUUUAUUGUAAACCGAAAAGUAUCUCAUUCUUCAGAAAUGCGAAAACUAAUCAUUCGAGUUAGUUGACAUACAUUUAAAAAGAUUAUGUUUUUUCAUACACAUUGGUUAGAGAUAGAAUCGCUGAUUAAAUGUUUAAAAGACUCAAAUAUCUAUCACUUCACCUAUGUCAGUCACACCAUGUUUGUGAAAUCGGUCAAUUUAGUCUCUAUUAUGAAUAUGCUAGGACUUUAGUAGCUAUAUUGAUUAGUUUUAUAUACUUUAGGCACUAGAUGAUGCUCUUGCUCGCCAAGUAGGACUCCAAGCUCAGAUUGACAAGAAGAAAAAGAAGAAGUUGGUAAGUUAUAUCUGCUUUGUAUCUAUCUUCAUAAGGUUAUAGUAUAGACUAGUAUAGAGUAUGUAUUUUUGUUCAUAAACUUGACUUUAUUGGGUUUGUGUGAUUAUUACAGUUCCGCUUGCACUGGUAAAGGGACAAUUGUGUUUGUUUUGUGACCUCCAAAAAACAAUAGUUGUAAAGUUGGAGGGUUUCUAUAUAUUCAGCCCGGUCGAAUGAAUGCCUGCAGCAGCAUUCUUCUAAGUUCUUCAUCUAGCAUUAUAUAAUUAUAAUUAUUAUUAUUAUUAUCCCAUUAAUUAAUAUUAAUAAAGUUUGCCAUCUUUUGACAAUUGUGUAUAUGUUAUAUUAUUGAGUCUCAAACCCAUUGAUAGUGACAUUUGGUUUUGAAUAUCAUUGUAAUUGUAACCCCUUUGCCUAUGCGCAAUCGAUCAUGAUAUAAAAGAAGUUUUCCCUAGUAUAUUAUUCAUUCAUUCAUAGUCUUUAGAAAGCCGACGGAUAAUUCACACCAAUACUAUGGUUACAGUAUUAACCGGCCGACGCAUCUAUCUGUUUUAAAAUAAAAUGUAGUUUAAACUUUAAAAAUGAAAUAAUGUUUUGUAAAAAAAAAUAAAUAAAUAAUGUUGUAAAAAAAAAAAAAAAAAACUCUUAUUGUCAACAAAAAAAAAUUACACUUUUACUAAAUUAACUUAGAAACAAAGAAUAAUUACUAGUGUAUUUCCUACCAUCAUCAUCAUAUAAUUAGAGUGCGUAUUAUUAUUUUUUUAAGAUAAUUUAGAAUACAUAUUACUCCAUUCAUCCCACAAUAAUGAGUCAUGUGACAAUUUCUAAAAGUUUUUCAAUAUAUCUAAAAGUGAUUUUUUUUUUCUUAUAUUAAAGAAUAGAAAAAGUAUAUUUGUUUUUAUUUACUAAUAAAAAAAUAUAGUUAAAACAAAAUAUCUAAAUCUAAAUAGUGCAUAUAAUCUAAUUAUUCUUAUCAUUGUUUUGAGAUGAAGGUUAUAGAGAGGACAAAAAAAAAUGAUAUAGCCUAGCCUCCAAGAUAUUCCUUUUGACCAGCUCUGCAAAUAGAUCGUAUUAAAGAUAUUUGCUUUUUUCUUUCAAAAAAAAAAAAAAAGAUAUUUGCUUUAGAUGUGAUACUAUUUCCUACCAACUGCUCUAGUGUUUGAUUUCGGUGCCUCAAAAGCUCUGCUGGAUUAGACACAAUUUAAAACAUACUUUUUCACCUUAGAACAAACAACGCGUGCUUUGUAAACCAAAAAAACGAACAUACUUGAUGCCAACACACAUGAAUAAACAAACGAUAUAACAAUGUUUUACUUUUGCAGAAAGCACUUCAACAAAAACCAGGACAAGAUAGAUAGAUAAGCAGGAAACCGUGUGAAACUAAAGCUUUUCAACCAAGGAAAACAAACCAGAUACAAUGAUAAACAAAGGUUUCCACAACCAAAAACUGAAAGAGCUUGUGUUUAACAAGCUAGCAAAGAUGCUAUUCUGGAUAUACACACAUGUGAAGUAAUUGUCCGUUUAGUUUUUACUCAUAGAACACUGAAAAACAGUGGAUAGAGUACAACAAGGGUACAAUAUUUGUAAAGUAAAAGUACAACCGUGGUCUCAGAAACAUCCUCCUCUGGGGAGUAUCUUUCAAUCAGCCAUAUAUACCUCUACCAGCAAAACUUCUUUUUCUGAUUGAAACACAGCAAAUGAAGGAAACAGAAAUAUCAGAAAUUUGAAAAAAUGUCCCAUUUAUAAUAAGAUUUUAGCUUUCAUAAGAAAAGAUAUAGAUGCCAACUUACCCGAAACCUGGCUUCUUCUUGGCGGUCAAUGUAAGCCAGCAGCUCUUCCUGCCUCAUUAACGCUUCGUAGAGAGCCUAUGCAUAAUCCAGAAAAUCAAAUAUUUAGGACCUAACUUAGGUAAGGAACCAAUGAGACAGUGUAUUUUUCAAAUCAUCACACUAUAGCAAACCAUUUUUGAAAUGCAAAAACCAAUAACCACAGUUCCAAGCACACCAUAAUUUGCUAUACUACACUGAAUGCUACAUGCAAUCAGCAAGAAGCUAAACAUGUUUUACAUUUUAAAUUUAAAGAUAAGAAUACAAGAUAAAACAAUGUAUCUCAAUGGUUUAGACAUGUACUCUGCUAUUAUAAAAUUAAUUUCCAGGACUGCACUUUUUUUGUGGUAAACAAAAAUACAGCAUCCUACCUUUUUAGUAGCAAUUAACUCUGCUUCCAAAGCAUCCACCCGGCAGACAGCAGCAUUCAACAAUUCCUCCUUCUCGUAAGGCAUUUCAGAUGGCUUAGAUUGGAGUGUGUCAACCUUCUCUUCAAGCUCACCUAACCUCUUCAGCAUUGAGGGAAGGAGAAUUUCCUCUGAUUGUGCUUGGCUUGUUGAAGGAAGACCUUCCACGUUUGCUGCCUCAACAGUUGGUUUUGAAGUUCUCCGAUCAUCAUUAGAUGAUAUUGCAGGAAGUUUGUUGGUCACGCGACAAGCAAAUUGACGGAAAAGAGCAAAUAACGUCAAGAAGAAAGCAGCCAGUGCUAACCAAAUCCGAGCUUUAAAUCCUUCUGGAGUAUUUUUUUUGUCAGGAAGAGGACGUGCUCCUGUAACUUUUGCUGCAGAAAGUUACAUUAAAUAAUUAAAAUCAAGAAACCAAGCAACGCCAUCAAGCACUAGCUCUCCCAAAAGCUACAACUCUUAAAUACUAACCCAGGAAUGGUUUAAAUCUCUAACAGACCCCUGGUCGAAAUUUUUAUGUGCAAAUGAAAUCUGGGUGCUUAGUUGUCAAUCUUGGCUAACGGUGUGGAAUGAUCGGCCCCGAAAAAGCUAUUUCCCAGUAUAAAUGAUCUAUACCACAACCAUGAAUGCUAAACCUAAGACAUAGUGGCAUAGUCUAGACACAAUCAUAAAGCCUAUCAAAAUAUCAUACUGGCAGAACUAUUUGUGCAAUUGGGUGAAACGUGAAAGUUUAGUGAACAAGCAAAAUAAGAAGAAACAUCAAAAGAGUGCAUCAAUAAAUGCCAAGACGACACCAACCUUUUAAUGUAUGAGACCUCUGUAGAGAUACUUGCCUCUUCCAUUCAGCAUCAACAGGUUUGUCUACCAUUGGAACGUAUUCAUCAUACCCAGACAUGUUACUGGCAUAGCUUGCCUUUCCUACUAUCUUAGCCUGACAAACAACACAAUGUGAACGAGUAUUAUAAUGGAAACAAAACAGGGAAAAUUCUCUGAACAGGUUUCUUAAUGCUAUACUUUGAUUAUCGUCAUCGUCACAAUAUCUUCAAAUAUUGUGGACUGCAACAAACAACCACAACAACCAAAGCCUUUUCCCACAUUAUGGAGUCAGCUAUGUAGAUCACACGACACCACAACAUCCUGUCAGAUUAGUUAUUAAUAUAUUUAAAGUAAAUAGUCAAUUUGUAUAAUAGGUCAAGACUCACUUCCUCACGAACAGGGGUCAGUCUAAGGUGCGAAUAGCUCUUCAUUGCUUUUGGAGAACCUAUAUCUUCAGCUUCUGACCCUGAUUCAGCAGUAGAUGUAUCGCUACCCUUUACCUGUUAGGUGAGAGUGAUAUACAUGAUAAAUAGACCGUUGAGAAGAAUGUGUGAAGCACCAAAUUGGCUCCACUUGGUUAAGGCAACAAUUAGAAAUGCAAAGAGUUACCAUUGGGUAUCGUGGCUUUGCAUACGCAAUAACCUUCCCUUCACUGUUGAGAACCUUUACCACUUGCCUAGCCCGCCGGGGUUCACCAUUGAGAACCAUCUACAAAAAGUGCAUACACAAUAAACUGUCAGCCUAUUACAAGUCAGACUGCUAUAGUAUAACAUCUGUCAAAAUCUAUCAAAAAGAUAAACCAAGAAUAGCAUAUAACCUUCAAUAUUUCAGGAUUUUUCCAUGGCCCUUUAUCAGAUCUAAGGCAACCUCCCUCAUCUGCACAAGAGCAGGUACCUCCAAGAAAUUCUGGCAACUCACUUUAUUAAGAGUACAAUGUGUUAGGCUUCUUAAAGAAUGCAUUUGUCAAUAGAAAGGAAAAAUAUCACGGAGCAAUUAUGUACCUGGGAUCAAUUACUUCAAGUAAUUUGCUUUGAUACUUGUUUCCAAGAACCUAAGUAACGUUUCCAACCAAGCAUCAAGCAAUGUCAGCAAUUUAUACUAUCAUUAAACAGAGUUUUAAACAGCUCGAAGAAGACAUAUAACAUACAUGGAUCUUUGAAGUUGUUUUGGGAUCAAGAAAAGACUUGACAGUGCUCCACAACAGUCUAAAUCCAGGGCCGGCAUUUAUAAUAAACAUUUGGCAGAGUGUCUGUAUCAGAACAAAAGAACCAGUAAUCACUAUAAACAUAGUACAUCACCUUUGGAAUUUCCAAUAACUGGUUAAAUAACAUUAAAAGAAAUAGCAAAAGCAAUAUACAGAAAGCGAUAUUUCACCUCAGGGUAAUUGUCACCGUCGACCUUCUGCAAUCGCAUAACGAGUUCCCGGGCUGACUUUGUAAAAUUCUUGAGGCCCUGAUAAUUGAAUCAUAAAAUAAAAAUGGUUUAAAUGAUUUAGAACUUCAGUUUACAGUUAAUGCAAAGAGAAAUAAUUACUGGAAACAUACCACUCCUUGAACAUCUAAGAUUGUGGUGCUUGAAUCUAUGUGCCUCUUGGCAGCAAUAGUGCAAGCAGGAAACUUUAUUGCAAAAGAUUUCUCAAACUCUUGCACAUGGUACUUUACAUAUCUAUCCAUAGUUGUAACUUGCAUAAGUUUGUUGGGAUCAACUUUACCAAGCCUUUCAAUAUACACAGGCCUUCCCUCCUUAUCUACACCAUGAUGGCCAUGUGGAUAAUAUUUCACAACUUCAUUCAACUCUUCGAACUCAAAAUCCUGAUGCAAAAAAUUAAAUAUUUAGGUAAGGCCAAUCAAUCACUUUGCAUGGGAAAACUUUAGAGGGCUAAGUCUAUAUUUUGAUAUAUAUUGCAGAAAAAAUUUGAUAUAACAUCAUAGAGAUGAUUGCAUAACAUUUGAACCGCACUAAAUUUAUUUUUAGAAAAAUAUGUAGCAAUAUCUUCCUUAAUUUAGAAACUUAAAAUAAGCUCUCUCCUCCUCUCCAAAAUCAUCAAUCCAAACAAACCCUAAAAGUAUAGCAUAUCUUGUUCCCUACAGAAAUGGAAGACAAACGAAACGAAAACCCGAAAUUGUAAGUGCAUUUUACCUGCAUAAUUGUGUCAGCACCAAACUCCUUCCUCCAUUGUAGCAUAUCACCCCACAUAUGUUUUGCUUUUUCAAUAUCAAAUUUCCUUGCUUUCAGAAAUCUAUAAAUAAAUAAAUAAAAUAUAACAAAAAUGAAGUAAAUACUAGAAUUAUAUUAUAAGAUCAUUAAUCGAAAUUAGUCGAAAUAUAUAUCAUAGAAAAGUUAACCUUAACAUCAUAUGGUAAUCAUCAAAAGCUUGAGGAAGCAACUCAUCCAUGAUCAAAGAUUGACGAAAAGCAUCGACAGCUUGAAGCUCUUCAACAUCUCUAACAUCCUCAAUUGAAACAGAGCUAACACGUCCAUCACUCUUUCUCCUACCACUCUUCUUUCUAAGAGAAUGUUUGAAUUUUGUGGAAGCACUUAAUGCUUUCUUUUUUAGAGAUCCAAUUCUGGUUCUCCUUUCAUCUUCUGAAUUCUCAAAAUCAGAUCUUCUCUCACGUUUCUCAUCACUUCCCGAAAACCCCUCAAAACCUGUCAAAUUUCACAAUUCAAAUCAUCAAUUACACAAAUUCAACAGAAUCUUGUGUGUGAGUGUGUAGUGUAGUGUAGUGUAGUGCAUGUGUAAGAAUCAUCGAAUUGAAAAUUGAAAAUUGAGACUCACAAGGUCUGGCGAAACGAUCCAGGGGUCCGGACAUUGUUGUAAUCGAAGAUCAAAUUGAGAUCGGUGAGAAACAAAAAAGCAUUAACAAAUUGAGAAACCCUAAUUUGGAGAGAGAGUUGAAAUUGAAAAAUGAAAUGAGAGAGAGAGAGAGAGAGAGAGAGAUUCUUGUUGUUGUUGAAGAGAGGAACAAAGUAAGAAUAAGAAGAGAAUUUAUUAUUUAAAGAGUAAAAAAAUAAUAAUAAUAAUAAUAUAAAAAAGGAAAAUGGAUGAUUAACGUCGGAGACAGCUAAAGACAGAGGGCGCGUGGUGUUUAUGUUUCUUAAAUUUCUUUCCAUCUUUGUUUCCCAAUAAUGUGUUGUUGAUUGACACUGCUGAGCUGAAUGAAGCUGAUGAAAGGGUAAAGAGAGUGGGACCCACUAGAUAGAUAUGAUUCAUAGGAUUCUUAUCAUAGGGCUCAGAGAGAGAAGAGACCCUUGCCCUUGGGAGGGACGUUUUGUCAAACACUGCAGCACCAGCUUUUUACUAACGUGUCCAUAUCCUUUUUACUGCGCCUCCUAUUUCAGAAUCCUACCUUGGAUUUUUUUUAAAAAAAAUUGUUAAACACCAUUUCAGACUCUGGUUAAACAUACCGAUAAAAAAAAACAAUGUGUAUUUCUAUGCUAAAAACUUGCGUAUUUAAUUUUUUAAAAAUAUAACAGUUGUUUUUUAAUAUUAAUUUUAUCUUUAAUAUUUAGUAUAUUUUAUUUUUAAUAGUCGUGGUUCCUCUUAGUAAAGUUUGACCAAGAAAUUGUUCCACCCAAAAAUUGAACCCGGUUCUCCCGAAAUUCGUCCUUUUUGGUGAACCAAUGUAUAAGCCAUUUUAAUGUUCAACCGGACCUUCAAAUUGUUAGAGCCGGCCCUAAAUUCGAUCAUCAAUUUCAUUGUAAAUGCGGAUGAAAAAAAGUAUUGUGCUUGGAAAGUACUCCCUCCGAUCUUAAUUAUAAGCAAAUUCUACUUUUUAGAUUCAUUUGAAUAUCAAUGUAUCUAGACUUACUUAAGGUCAAAUACAUUGAUUUUACAAUGAAUCUAAAAAAUAGAAUUUGCUUAUAAUUAAGGCAGGUGGAAGUAUAUCAUAUAAAAGUACUAGUAUUUUAUUAAAGGAAUAAAAAAAAUACUUCAAUUAUUGCAUAGAAAAUUGUAUUUAUUAUUAGGGCGUGUAUUAAAAUAUUCAAAAAAGGAAACUUUAAAUCAAAGAACACCAAAAAUUUAAUUUUAAAAAGGCAAAAUAUAAUUUUCUAUUAAUAUAAAUUAUAGAGAAUCAACAAUAUUCUAUUAAUGUUCAUUUUUUAAAAGGUAAAGAUUGGAAUACAGUUAUUUUUAGUCAAAAAUUGGAAUACAGUUUCCAACUAAAAAAAUACUUGUGAUCAAUUCAACACAUAUUUGAAGGACGGUAUCAUCCAACAACUAUAUGAGAUAAUAUUCAAUUGUUCAGAGAAGAGUUUGUUGAAUUCCAAAAUAUUUGCACGUGUGAGGCGGAUAAAUCUUUAAAAAUAACGAGUACAACGACAACAAAUGAACUUAGGUUCGGUCGAAAAGACAAACAUAAACACUAAUUUUCUAACAUUUCUAUUAAAAAAAAAAAACUUCAACAACAAGCAAUAUUAAUCAUCUAGAUUUGCAUUUUCUUUAAAAAAAAACGGAUCUUGAAUAAUAAACUCUUAUCAUUCCCUGAUGCAAUAUUUUGGAUUCGGGUUUGUGAAAAGGUGGAUAAUUUCAAAACUAUAGUUGGUUUUUGGUGUGACCGAAUAGCUACAAGCAAUCACAUUUUUCUUAUAUUUUUUAGUCUUUGACAGAGCUACACACAAUCACUUAACUUUUAAUAAUUGUUCUUUAAAAAAAACUACUUUUAAAAUUAUGUAUAUCUUUGCUGAUAGUUUUGUUUAUAGAAUAGAAUUUUUUUAAGAAAUAAAAAAAAAAACUAAAAUUAGGAGGACAUAAAUCUAAUCCAAUAAAAUAUAAAGACAAAAAAGAAAAAAAAAAAUCAAAUUAUAUAAGACUUCAACCUAUAUAUUCUCGUUCUAUGUCACUACUUCACUCCAAAAAUCAACAAUGUGCAUAUCAUGAAAUAUAUUACAUCUAUUUAGACAUCUUCCAAGUCAUUGUUCAAACUAAAGAUCUUGUAAUUGCUCGUCUCAAUUGACUCGUUGUCUUUCAUAAUCAAUGAUAAUAAGUUCGGCCAAUGUAAUAAAAAAAAAUAUAAUGUUCAUACUACAACACACAAGAGCUCAUCGUAUAGCUUAGUUUUGGAAACAAUUUUUUUCCGGUCAUUUUUCUAGAAUGUAUAUUUUUGUUUUAAAAAGCUCAUACAUUUUAAAAAAAAAUUGUGAAGUUUUGGAAUAAAAAAGAAGUUAAAAGUUUUUAUUGUUUUUGACACAAAAAGAAGUUAAAAGUUAAAGAUGAUAAAACGUUACUUUUGGAGUGAAAAGACCAAAUCUAAAUUUAUAUUUGACAGUUUUUUUCCUCAUCCCACGUUUCCCUUCUAUCCUCAAAACACGCAAAAAAAUUUGGAAAACAUUUCAUGAAUUUAUUUUAGUGUCAAUUCACUGAAAUUUACACUGAAUUUUUUUUUUCGCAAAACAUUUUCCGAAAUUUUCUGCUUGUUUUGGAAUUGGAAAAGAAACGUGAAGGGUGGGAAGAGAAUUUUUCAUAUAUUUUGUUCACUUUUGAAGUUCAGCCCAUUAGCUGUCAAAAAAAAAAGAAUUCAGCCCAUUAAAUUGGAUAUUUUCUCUUUAGGCCCCCAUGGGUCUUUUUCACCCUCUGGAUUUUACUUUUUUGCCCUUCAAUAAAAACUUCGGUUUCUACGAAUCGAAUUUUUUUUGCCUUGAAAUAAAAAUUCGGUUUCUGUUAACCGAAAUUUUCCUGAAUUUGAACUAGAAAAAACUCCGGUUUCUGCGAACCGAAGUUUUUAUCAAGGGCAAAAUUGGAAUAUUGGGGGUAUAAAAGAUACAUGGGGGGCCUGAAGAGAAAAUAUCAUUAAAUUGUUGUUGUAUUCGGCCCAGGCCCAUUAAUUUUUGUCCUUUUGUUUGUAGAUUAGGCUUAGCCUUUUUUUGUCUCCCUUGAUAUUUUUGGUUUACUUUUCGCUUGUUUUGGUACAUGGACCUAAAUGAAACAAACAAUAGAUUUUGUACAUGGAUCUAAAUAAAAAAGGUUAAGUAAUUUUUUUUUAGAUUUACGUUUGCCACCCUACCGGUUAUUCACGCAUCCUACGCCUUCUUUUUUUAUCGUUCCGCUACUUAAAUAGCGAACGUUAUAAAAAUAAGGUGUUUUGGGGGGUAGGGAGCGCGCCAGAAUGAAUGGGUGGCAAAAGGAGAUCUCAAAUUUUAUUUUUUUGGUAUAGAGAUCUCAAUUUUUUAUCCCUACAAAUAUUAAGUUUUUCGGUUUAUGUUCCUAUAAAAAAAAUUAACAUGGAAUUUUAGUCUUUGCUAAAUUUAUUUUUUAGUUAAUCUUAUAGUAUCUUCAAUAAGAGUAUUAAAGAAUGUUUUAUAGACUAAUGAUUCAUACAUUUUUUUUAUCACUGGAGUUUCAUGACGUGGAACAGGCGAAUGCGUGUAACCGCAUGCACUCAUUCAGGGUGCACCUAAUCCAAAUCCAUUGAAAACAACUGAACAUGAACAUGAAUAUGUGUAAGCAAAAGCUGUGUUUUUGGUCUUGAACUAGCUUUGAGUUGAUGAGACAUACAAUUGAGACAAUAGAGAAAAGAAAAAAAAAAUGAAAAGUUCAUGUGUGAUUUUGGCAAUUUUGUGUGUUACACCAAACCUAAAUGCAUUCGAAGUUUGUUUUACUUUGACAGAGUAAAUCGAAGAAAGAUUACUUGAAUGUUAAUUUGUAACUAGAAAAUCAUGAUAGGUACAUUUAGAUGAGCAAAACUACUAAAAACACACAUAAUUUGGCUUCAAUUUUCAUCACACUUUUGACAUGAAUUUAGCCACAAAAUUAAGUUAUAUUUUAUUUUCUAUUAGAAAAUUCAAUUUCCUUAAACUAUAGGGAGUAGGAAGGCUUUGUAGAAAAUGAGUCUUGGUAGAAAAAUAAUAGUAUGCUUGUUGAUGAUCAUCAUAAUAGGGUGUAAUAAGAUUGAUGGUAGAGAACCUGUGCUGCAUAGGGUUGGAGGUGGAAAGUAUACUUGGAAACCAAAAAUUAACUUCACACAAUGGGCAAAUAAUGAGCAUUUCUACAAGGAUGAUUGGCUAUGUAAGUUCAUUCACCAUAUUUUCAUAUCUUCAUAUUGAUUGAUAUUUAGAAACAUUUUAUUUUGCUAACAAAUUUCCUUUUGUGUACAUAGAUUUUGGUUUUGAUAAGCACAUUUAUAAUGUUCUUGAGGUGAACAAAACAAGUUAUGAGAAAUGUAUUGACACUGGUUACAUAAACAACAUCACUAGAGGAGGAAGAGAUGUUUUCCAACUUUCAGAAGAGAGGACAUAUUACUUUCUAUGUGGUAGAGGCUUUUGCUUUCAAGGAAUGAAGGUUGAAAUAAAUGUUGAACCACUUGAACUACCACUACUACUUCCUCCAACAAUUCCGAAUAAGGCCGCCGCGGACUCAUCAUCAAGAAAAAUGAAUUACAUUCUAUUGUCGCGAAUAUCACAUUCUAUUACUUGCAGUUACCAUUUCGUCCACAUGUUUUACAUGUUUGUUUUUCAUUGUCAAAUUUAUAUGUUUUAGUUAAAUUACAUGAAGCUGUAGACUUGUAUGACUCUGAUCGUAAGAACAUAUAAUUCAAUGAGAAGAAUAUAACACUAUUUAUUAGAAGACUCAUAUUCGAGAUUAAAAAUCGAUCAAACCAAAUUUGAAAUUCAUACUACGUUUUAAUCGGACCGCGAUGUAGUAAUUAAGAUUAACUUCACAUAUUAACCAUCUGUCUUCCAAUUCAACUGAUUAAACCGACCAAUUGUAUUUAAAUUUUUAAAACAAGGGUAAAAAAAUUUAACGAAAUCAUAAGAUGCCAUGUGGUUUGGAAGUAAUUUUCAAAUAAGACAUAUUAUUAUGUCCUAUGUGAUUGUUGGUUCCCAGCUGUAUCUUGAUUCCAUACUUGAAUUGUACAGUCUCCCCAUCCUACUUCUACUAUUACUUACUACUACUUUGUUUAUUUUCUUUGAAAAAUGUUAUUUAGACACAAUAUUUUAACAAAAAUACAAUAAAAUUACAUUUUUUGUUUUUUUAAUAUUUAUUGCACACUUCGAUAUUCGUGAUGUGAGUGGAGAAAGUAUGAUGUCGUAUUUUUGUCAAACUUUUUUUGUGUUUACAUAAUACACCUCAUUUUCUUUCUAGUUACUUCUUCCACUUUCCAAGAUAAACCCUAUUUUCUUUAUUAUUAUAUAUCUAUCUAUCACUCAAAAGAAAAGAAAGAAAACAAAGAAAAAAGCAAAAUAAUUCAGGACCCUCCCUUUUUCUUUAUUUUAUUAUCUUUUCUAGAUUUCAAUGUACGACUUAUAUUAUUUUUUCAUCAACUUGUUAACUUUUUUGUUCUAUAAAUUCACUGCUUCAAACUCAUUCACUCCUCUUCCACUUUCCUCUUCUUUCUCUCUUUUAAGAUAUUUUCUUUCUUGUUUAGCUUUUGGUUUUUCCCUUUCAAAACUCUGUUUCGCUGUUUUUCCUCUGUUUUCUCCUUCAAGCUUCAAAAUCUUAAAUGCUUAACAUAUUGUUAUUGAUGUUUGAGAUUCAUGAAUCAAAUUCUGAGUGAAAUUUACCUUUCUGGUUGUAUGAUCAAUUCUACUGUUAGGCGCAGGACCCAUUUAGUUCAAUCUUUCUCUGUUGUUUUUCUUUACUGGCUUUACUACGUUUCAUGAUUUCUAUUUUCUAAUCUCUUAUAUUACUAUUAAUUUUCAUUUUUCUGCAAAUUUUUCUCUUUUUUCUUCUUAGUUUUUGGGUCCUGUGUCCAGUUUGUUUACUCUGUUUCUCUGUUCUGUGCUCUGUUUUUGUGUUCUGUUUCCUCUGUUCUGUGUUCUGUUUCUGCAACAACUAAACUCUCUCUAUCUCACAUGGCUUCUUCAAGUGGUACAUCUUCAGGCUAUUCUACACUACCAAACUCAGGUUCAGAGGGAGAUUUGAUGCUUCUAAUGGAUCAAAGAAAAAGAAAGAGAAUGAUAUCAAACCGCGAAUCGGCAAGAAGAUCUCGAUUAAGGAAACAAAAGCACUUAGAUGAUCUUGCUGUUCAAGUGAGUCAGCUUAGAAAUGAGAAUCAGCAGAUUCUAACUUCUGUUAACCUCACAACACAAAGAUUCUUGGCUGUUGAAUCUGAAAACUCUGUUCUUAGAGCUCAACUGAGUGAACUCAACAACAGAUUUGAGUCAUUGAAUGAAAUCAUCAACUUCAUGAAUGUUACAAAUGGUGUUUUUGAACCUGUUGUUGAUAAUAAUAACAAUUACUUCAUCCCUUUGAAUAUGGCUUAUUUGAAUCAACCAAUCAUGGCUUCUGCUGACAUGAACAUGGUGCAUUAUUGAUAUGAGAUCUAUCGGGAUUAUGCCUGCUCUACUGCCUGUCUUGCUUCCCUUUCGUGGACGCAAAACUUGCACAGUGCGCAGAGUCAUUAAUGGAAAAAAGAAAAAAGAGAGAGAUCUAUUGGGUUUUGAAGUUUGAUUGAAUUGAAUCUGUUGUUGGUGGAAAAAUUAUGAUUAGUGAAGAUUAUUGCCACAUAGAGAGAUAUAUUAAGGAAUAAUGAUGAAUGUGUACUAUUAGUAGUAGUAAUGUAUCAUAAAGAGGGUAAAGCUUGUUAGGUGCUUUUUCUAUUAAUAACCCUUUGUAAUGUUCACACUUCAUAUAUCACUAUAUUAAGGUUGUAUUUUUUAUGAUUGAGUCACUAUUGUUGUUGUUAACUUGCUUCUUAUAAUAAUAUAAUAUAAUCAUAUUAAUAUUGACUAAGUUCUCCAUUUAAUAAUUUUAUUUUAUUUUAAAUUUAUUUAGUGACCCUCUUGCUAUGAUGCUUUGUAUGAUUUUAUUGUUUUAUAUGUAUCCUGAAAUCAGUGAUUUAUUUGACUAAAAUUGAGAUGGUGUACAAUUUUGGCACUUGCUCAAUGAUAGUUGAGUAGACAAAGUUGAAUUCAUAUUAAUAAUAAUUCAACAUUAUAAUAGUAAGUCUUGAUUGAACUUAGACAUACUGAUGCAUUGCAUGUAAUUAAUCUUUCAAUCAGUGGGUUUGUGCGUAAGCAUAAAUUUUAUACAACUUUUCUAACUAAUGUUUGCGUAUAUAGCAUAUUAAUUGUUGUCUUUACUUUCCAUUAAGUUUCCACUACACUAACCAACACAGUGUAACACAAGUAGUAGAUAGUUAAACUCCAUAAUUAUUUAGUUCAGGGUUCGAUUUCUGACCAAUAUAUAUAUAGAUAAGUACUUAUUAGAAGAUGUCAAACUCUUAAAUAAAUCUUAAUUAACUGUGAAAAUAUAUUUCUGUUUGUGUAGGGAGGGUUCAAGUAAUGACUAGAGAUACGUAUCUUAUUGGAAGGAAAAGACCAAAAGUGAACAGUAAAAGAAAGGGACAGGUGCUGUGGAGAGUUGGCCAUGGCACCCCCAAUUUGUGAUCUUGUCAUACUAGUUUUUAGUUUUUUAUUUAUCAACUAAGGAAGAAAUUCCUUGAAAUAGGAAACACAUAAACAUCUACGGAUGCUUGUUGUGUCUAUUAUAUUUUGUGAUAUUUCUAACUUCAAUUAAUUUGAAUCAUUAUGUUUCCAGCUAUUUACUUGUCUCUUUACUUAUGCCUAACACUGUGUGACCUACCCCAACCAAAAUUACUUCAUGUUUUAACUGUGUGAAUUUAGUUGAAUCAUUUUUGUGUCACUGUAAUUUUUAUAAAAAUUAUACUUUAUAACUUUUAACAAAAAUUAAGGUGGCAAUGUGAUUUCAAAUAUACACUUAGAAUCGGUCUCUUGCAUUACAAAAUAUGCCACCUAACCUAACUAUAUUAUUAAGAAAACUUUUGAUAUAAGGAGUCAAACUAGAGUUUUGUUACCACUUGUUGAAAAGUCUGAAGGGUGCAAAGGUCACGAGCAAUAACGGUUAAAAGGUUAAUACUACCUAAAAUAUUUGACAUUAUGUCUUCAUUUAAAAAUUUUGUAUUAAAUACACAAGUCACCCCUUUUUCACCCUUAAAUUAUUGUUAUGUGGCCUGCAAACACAAGUACAAUCAUGUUACCCUUUUUUAAUAAACAAAAAAUUGGCUACGGGGGAUUGAUGUUUGAAAACAGUUUGAAACUCCAACAACGAUCGACAUUGUUUCUCGUAAAUAAGAAUUCAUAGUAUUACCGUCUUCACAAUUAAGAAAGUGAUUCGAUCGACAUUUGUUAGACAAUAAAAUAAAAAUAUUAUUUAAAAGACGUAAAUAACUAUCUCACUAUCUCAACAUUAAAUCAAUACCGAUUAAGUCACUAUCUCACUCAUACAUACAUACAUACAUACAUACAUACAUACAUACAUACAUACAUAAAUAACUCUAAAUUUUUACUUAAAGACGACAAGGACGACAUAAACCACAUGUAUAGCACUUCUCUACUCAAUCAAUUGGCCGUGUAGAUUCUAGAUUCUAUAAAGUGAUUUGACACUGAAAUUGUAGAUCACACUUUAGCAAUAAGUGUGGGUGUGCACCAUUUGUAGGUGCUUCUCUUAAGGAAAUACUACAUUUUAGUUCCAACACUUUUCUAUUUUCAUCUUAAUAUUAGUUUGCCUUUGGAAAGACAAAGAUCAUAAGCUUAACUUGAGAGAGAGCUAAAUUGACAGCAAAGAAACUGAAAGUAAAAAAGUUACAUAGAACUUUGUACUAAAGCUGUUACACCAAGUUCUUGGAAAGUAAUUGAAAGUCAUGUUUUUUAGUUAUAUAUCUUAGAUGAGUGCGCUGAUUUCGCACGUGCAAUGCAAUGAACUAAGUUUACUGAGCCACUGGUUUUUGAACAUGUAAAUAUGGUUUGCAUAUGCCAUGUUAUGUUAAUUAAGUCAUGACUUCUUUUAAGCUGAAUCUCAUUAAAUUAAUACAGUCAUUGAGCAUGUGGUUUAGUCACAUGGAGAGGUAAUUAAAUUUCACUUUAAAAUAUGACUUAAACAUACUAUUGUGAAAAAAUUGAAAUAGCAACAAAAAUUUAGAGACGUCAAAUUUGAUGAUCAAUUUUAUUUUUAUGUAUGUAUGGAAUUUUCAUCGUUAUUUUAACUUUUUAAUAAAAUUGGAAGAUAAAUUAAUAUGUAUGUUAAAUAAUUGAGGAGCCACUAAGGUGUACGUACUCUGUACAAAAAUGGACCACAAAUCAUUGCAGCAAAUACAAAAUUAAAAGUCAUACGUUCAAAACGCUCCAUUGCAGCAAAGCCUGGCACCAAUUUUUUUUUUUUAAAACUGUACUAUAGUCCCACAGUCUAUUAGCAAGGACCACAAUUAAAGGCCAACAAAUUUUUAGGUAAAUUCUAAUAUGGACCACUUCAUCAAGUGGUUCAUGGUGGACCAGUCAUGAAUAACAUUAUAACGAAUACGAAUUUUAUAAAAUUCACCGUUGGAUUGAAAGUUUAUAUCAUAUAGAUCAUCCAUAGAAAAAUUUAGAAAAAUUGAAAAUCAUUUGAUACGUUAUUGAGAUACAUCAAGGCGGUUUAUUAAAUAACGUAAAUCUUGAUGGGUCUCAAUAACAUAUCAAAUGAUUUUCAAAAAAAUUUAAAAAAUUUAUGGAUGAUCUAUACGAUAUAAACUUUCAAUCCAACACUAAAUUUCAUAAAAUUCAUAUUCGGUAGAUCACUUGUCCACGGUAGACCACUUGUGAAGGUGGUCCACCGUAGCAUUAGCCCAAAUUUCUAUAUAGCCGAAACCAACACAAAAAUUUACAUCCGGAUGAUUUGAAACUAAAACCUAGAAAAGAGCAUGCUCUAAAGUCUCAAACCUUUACUAUCGGGCUAAUCGCCUAAUCCCUCGUUAACAUUGAAAUGACUUAAUUGUUUACUAGGUAUAAGUUAUUUUAUUUCUAUAUUAUUGUAUGCUCUGUGGAAUUUUUGUUAGAAAAGUAUAAAAGGAGGAUGUAGAGGCUUCUAAUAGAAAAGGCUGCUUUGCUUGCUCAUAGAUAUAGGAAAAGUUUAAGCACGCCAAUUUGUACCCUUAAAGUCGUUUUAAUAACAUUACAUGUAGUAUAAAGAAAAGUAUAUAUAUAUCAGCAGCUUGUAUUUGACUCCAAUUAUAAACACUUUGUUAUAUAUAUAUAUAUCGGUAAUUCAAGUGUUUGAGUCUCAUACCGGAUGAAAACGUAUAUGUUGAAUAAUACUUUAUAAGUGAGAGAACCUAUUGACCUAAUGCAUUAAAGUUGUUCAAAACCCGAUGUGAUGAUUUUCAAAUCCCUUUAUGACCCAACUGUGAUAUGAGAGCCUGGUUGAACUGGCUCCAACCGACUCCUUAUGUCAAAAGUUUUUCCGAUGUGAUAAUCCCAGACCCAACACAACAAAACCUUUUUAUAGAUCUUGAACUCUCCUAAGACACGUGAACUAAUAAAAUCAUAUACUUUGUUAAAUAAAUUCAUUUGGAGUUUGGAGAGUUAAGAAGUAAUGAAAAAACUGAUGUCACAAAUUAAAGUGAGUUACUCUACUUAAGGUAUAAGCAACAAAACUAGAUUCUAUCAUAUGUAUAAUUUUCAUUUAAGACUAUGAAAAAGUAAAAUGUGACAUCUUAUUAUUCAAAAAGAGAAAGAAACAUAUAAAGAAUUUAUAUAAAAUCAAUUUGAACUGUGAGAGAGCACAUUUUACUCUCUUGUGUGAAAAUUACACGGGACGUGAUCAAUUUUCAUAGUCGGGACACAGUUUAUUUGUGUUUAACAGAUUCAACUAAAAAUUGUUUUCAAUGAUAAAAAAGAAGAAUAUACUUAAAUAAUUGAACUAAACACUCGAAAUCUUCUUUUAAAAAUUACACAAGUAGAUUUUAAUGGUGAGCUAACAAACAUAAGAGGUCAUGUUGAAUUGAGAAAUGCUAUUUUGACAUCAAAAAAUUGAUGUCCAAUCUUUGACUUUUAUGUGUAUUUUUUAAAAUGUAUUUAAUUAUUAAAAUAUGAAAAGUAAAAUAGAGAUAGAAAUUAUAAACAUAUAUUGUGUUACAUACAUUGUCUCUUUAUCUUAAUGUUCAAAUAAAAUAAUAUUGUACUUCAUAUUUAAGAGUCCAAUUAAAAAAUCACACCAGCCCAAUAUUUUUUAUUGUAACAUAAGAAAACAACACUAGUUUGAACAAAAAAAAAACAUAAACAACUAUACCCCUAUAACAUCUUCCCUAAUGAGAACUAAUCCCAAUCUUUUGAAUGCUUGAUUAAACUAGAUUGGGAAAUUAUGAUAAGUCCAAAUGCAUGAAAACUUGAAAAGGCUAUAGUCAAGUGGCAAAAUAGGCUCCAACCCAACAUUAAAAUAAGCAAUAUGACAUAUAUAUAAAAACAUUAAAACUUCUCUCAUGCAUUAUAUGAUGUUAAGGUGAAAUUUUGUUAUCUUGCUCUCAAUAGUUGCUUGGUGUCCUAUCAACAGAAUUUCCUAUCCUCAACAUGUAAGAUAUUUAACAAAUUUUGUAUGUAUAUAAUAUAACCGUGUAUAUGUACAACACAACAUUUUCUCCAAUAUCUUUUAAUUAUAAAAAAUAAGUUCGUUUCCCCUACCUAUAUAUGUCUAAUUAAGAUUCCAACACUUUAACACUUCUACGUCUUAAACAACGAGAACAAAUGAUAACAUUAUAAAAUGCCAGAUAUUUUUUUUGAUUCAGUACACGUCUUUUUUUAAUUUUAUAGAUAGCAAGUACAUGCACAUGUCAUUGUAUGGUACGUAUUCUUCCACAAAAUACAAACCAUGUUAGGGGUCUAUUGAAGGGUUAUCAAAGCUUCGAUAACAACCCAAAAAUAAUAAAACAAGUGUUAUCAUGAUUCAUCAAGUACUUACGCAACUACUCUCAGAAAAAAAUAAUAAAAGAGUACGUACGCAACUUAUUUUUUUUUUUUAAGCUCUCUUUAAUUCGAGAGUUAUAUUGAGGGGAGAACUUUGGAAAAAAACGGGGGAUGAAAUUAAGGAAAAUGAAAGGAAGGUUGGUCCCUAAGUUGAAUAAAGAGUUUCUUUUUUCACGGUGAUAUUUUUUUUUUUCUCUUUAGUUAUCAUGUUACAAAUAUGAAGUUUUAAGUUUAGCAAGGGUGUAGUCUAUUCUAUGUCUAGUCACAAUGUCUUUGAGUCAAUUCCUCGCUGUAUUGAUAACUAUUUGAUUAAUGAAAUGCAUUGAGUUUCUUUUUGUCAAAAAUAGAAAAAUGCAGUUGAAUGGUGACAAAUUUAUAUAUUAUUUUUUUAGUUAUCAUGUUAUAAGUGUCAAGUUUCAACCGCUACUUAACGGUGACUAAUCACCGUCAAAGAACCUCCAAUAAAAUUAAUAUUUUCUAUCUCUGACUACUUGGUUAAAGUAGGGAUGGCAAUGGGCGCCCACGGGUGCGGGUUUGAGUGAUACCAAACCCACACCCGAAAUCAACACCCAAACCCAAACCCAAACCCAAAUCUGUUCGGGUGGCAAAACCACACCCACGCCCACACCCAUUGGGUUCGGGUUUUUUACACCCAAACCCAAACCCACAACACAUUUUGUACUACUUUACAAAUUUAAGCAAAAACAAUGGAAUUUAAACAUAUUGUCAAUCACUUAGCAAAAACAUAGGUUUAAAAUUACAAGGGAAUUUAAAAUUACAAAAUAGUCUUUCAAGAAAUUAAAUUACAACUAAACCAAAAUNNNNNNNNCCAAACCCACACCCAUAUUUUCGGGUGUCACCCAAACCCAAACCCAAACCCAGUCAAUUCGGGUUUCGCCCGUUGACUUGGGUUUGGGUUCGGGUGGGUCUCACGGGUUUGGGUUUUUCUGCCAUCCCUAG
This 48160-nucleotide long non-coding RNA is filed under the name Trifolium pratense (red clover). Its description in RNAcentral is "long non-coding RNA (TPRA_LNC003327)". The record is from RNAcentral. Lineage: Eukaryota; Viridiplantae; Streptophyta; Magnoliopsida; Fabales; Fabaceae.